CCACACAAACAAACUACUUCAUUUAAAUAAAGAAGAGCUAAAAAAAGUUUUUAUUUCUUUAAAGGUAUGUGAAAGAAGCGGGACAGGCCAGUAUACAAACGAAGGGAAAAGGUACCGUGUGAGUUCCGAGUGAAGUGCCCGAAGAGUACCAAGCCGCAGGCCAGAGGGUUACUCCAUUUGUACUUCAACGGUCUCUUAUGACGAAGGAAUAGACAAAUACUAUAACGGGUCUCAGUCAUAUAGCAGUCAUGUUCAUUUUUCACAAUCAGGAGGAGGCUUCUUUUCGUCAAAUGGGCAGUUACUUUCCGUCCAUCUAAGAGACGCUCAUAUGGAUCGGUAUCGGAUGUUUCCCCUUAUCGUAAUUAAAAUAUUCCGUUUCGCAUUUGAAUACCGUAAGUGCAGAAGCUCUAGCCUAUGUGGUUUUCUACCUUUCGGGUAUCAUAUCGUAAAAUAUAUACCUUUCUCUAGCUCAAUGUGUUUAUUCCUCGUACGGACCUGUCGCCGUCGUCGUCGUCGUAAACAUAAAAGACUUGGUAGGAGUCUCUUUUAUAAGGACUUUAUGUUGGUUUAAGUAGUAUUUAUAUUAUCGUUGUAUAUAAGGUACCAUGGCUGGAAGAGAUCUCGUUCACCGCUUCCCGAAUCACCAACCAUGGGCUCCAGGGUUCAAGCUUAGGAUCAAUUAAAUGUAAAAGUUGAUUUAAAUAAAGAUUUACUUUAUUUGCUUUGCCCAUCGCACGAUAGAUAGAGAAUAAGUAGUAUUUAAGUUUUCGUUGUAUAUAAGGUACCAAAAGACUCUUUUUCAUAUAUAAGGUAUCGUGUCUGUAACGGUCUUGUACCGCGUAAAGGUGUGGGAACAUGCGUCUAGGGGAAUAAACACCACGAAGGUGCGGGAACAUGCGUCUAGGGGAAUAAACACCACGAAGGUGCGGGAACAUGCGUCUAGGGGAAUAAACACCGUGGUAUGAAGAAUAUUAAACAGAACAUUAUUCGGUUUACAAGACAAUUGGUGGUUGGGUAGAGAAGGUUUUCUAUCUAAUUUAUAUACUGCUUUGAAUGGUGACCUAUUACAAUAGAUCCUUCUUAUCAUUACGAAUUUGUUCGUACAUUGUGGGAUUUUUACUAACCUAAUUGGUUCUCUUUUGACUCAAUUUAUAACAAACGUCAUGACACUAGCUAUACCGUUUCGUAUUACGAUUCCUAUCUCUAGUCAUUCUUGAACCUCGUGCGUAAAGACAUGAUAAACCAUAAUGCAACACUUUCCAAAGUAUAUGUUCGAUAGGCGCAGUUCGUAUAUCGAAUGUUAUUCUUGGUUUAUAUCCUCGUUGUUAAGGUUUAUCAGUUUACAGAAACUUACUUUAUAUCUUUGUUAUUAGGGUUUCUCAGUUUAUAGACACCAUUUACUAAAUGGAGGUAUAACGUAAACGUUCUAGUAGCACAGAACGGAGACCAAAGUAUCGUCGUAGUAUACGGUGUUACAAGGGUAUCUUAUAAAAAAGAUCAAGAAAGUAGGUGAAUUAGUUUUCGUUCAAUUGGACUUUGGUGUGUCAUCAUUCGUACUCGUUCAUUGUAUAGAUGUUCUGUUCCUUUAAUGGUUUUGAAACUUACGGUCUUCAUUAUUCGAUUUGUAGUCAUGUUUAAGGAGUUUGAGUUCCGUGACUACUACUUUAGGAGUUGUCAGUUUUUGUGUUAAAAUCGACGUAGUGAAUGAAUAAAGAGAAAAUGUUCAGAAUGUGCAACUUGUUUUUUGAAGGACAAAUUUCAUAGUUAAUAUAGUUGGCUAUCUGUUAGACGAAUACUCCGUGUAGUUCUUAUUGGUAUCUUAAAGUACCUCUUUGUUUUGAUACGUUUCUUAUUUUUUUUUCAUCAUCGUUGGUUUGUCUUGAGUAGUGUGUUGAAUUUCGUAAAUGUUAAAUACCUAGAUCUUAUGAUUCAAUUCGACUACCUACUAAACUUUCAAGAUAUUCAUUGUUUCUAUGUUAUGUCGAUCUUGCUACUAGUACGUUACGGUUUUUAUUCUGAGUAUAGUAGAAUAGAUACUUUUGCAAAAAAAAUUUACUUCUAUUUCCUUUAUCCUUCGUUGUUGAUUGGGGUCGGAAACUUUGAGAGUCGAGUUCUAGCACUAAUAUUUAAAGUAUGUCUAUAACCGGCUUGACCUGGGGAAGGAAAGGCAGAAGGAAGUUCGCUGCAUUUUGUUCGGUGUAUACUUCUUGUUCGUUACUUUUACAUCAAAAUUUGCAAAAGAGGUUGACUUUAUGACGUGCCUUAGUUUGUACCGUCUACAAUCAUAUGAGGGUUUAUAAUGGACCUGUUUUAAUGAACUGGUUCAAGUGUUUUACAUUAUGUUUAUAUCUGGUAGAAGAAACAUAGAAGUAAAAUAACAUUGGAACGUAUACACCUUCGUCUUUAGUUCUAGACUUAUCGACGAAUCAAAUACUGGUGUCAUUUGGAGAAGGACUAUUUUAAAUAACAAAAUUUUAGUUUUCCGGUUGCGAGAAAUGAUUGGUUUAUUCGUUAUUCUGUUCUAAAACUAACUUUCGUCUGAAUUAUCUAACCUGUAAUUGAUUCGUUUUUGCUUUUCCCUUUGCUUUUAUCCUAUAGUAAACCACUGAUCAUUCUUCCGUCUGGUAGUAUUUAUCGUCCGAACAGCUGGACUCUUUACUGUGCCGCUAUCUGUUGUAAACGGGGAGACUAGCUAAACGAGACGAAUGACAUCUUAUUGUCAUCGAAUUUUUAUUAUGCGGCUUACGGGAGUUUGGCGCCGAGAAGUUGAGCGUUCCCUCUUAGUGCUUGGUUUCGGUUUCUUGUCCCAAACCUGGUUUUGUUUCGUAAGUCAAACUGGACAUUUUCUCUGCUCGGUUUUACCUUUGGAAUAGACCAUACAAAAGUAUUCUUACCUAUUUAAGUUCCUGAGAUUAGUAUUUUACAGCUUUAUUCGUAUGACUUUACGCAUUUGUUCAUACUGGGGUCAUAAAAGAUGUCCUGUUUAAAUCGUGAUGUCUAAGUUUCAAGGCUUUCUCUAUACGUUUUUUGACAAAUUAUGUUUCAUUACAAACCUCUUUAAUGUUUAGGAGUAGUAUUCGGAUUUGUUUAGGAGUAGUAUUCGGAUUUGAGAGGGUACAUAAGUAGUCUUGUUUUUUGUUUAACAAAUUAUUCCAAGAAAAAUACUUUCAGUUUUGGAUACAGCCAGUUUUUGAGUUUUACGCACUUUUACUUUUACAGUGUGGGAGCAUAGUAAAAUAAGAUACUGUGUCAAUCUCUUUUCGUCAAAAUAGGGAAAGCUUUUCAAAGUAAAAUCGUAACGGAGAAACGCUGAGUAAGAACGGCUUAAGGAGGAAUCGAACUAGAAGCUUUCAAUGCCGAAUUAAGUAAACGGAGCCGGUAUAGUUGACUAGUUUUGGAUGAAGAAAUAUACAACAAGAGUUACUGAUUAUCUUUAGACGGUGAACGAAAAGAAAGGAUAAUGGCGGGAUUAAAGAUUUUGGGAUUAAUGAAAUGGAGAGUCUUUAGUCAGAGUUUAUGUUUUGAUGCUCGAUACUCGUCGUGUUACGAUCUAUUCGUUAGUGAUGUUUUAUAAGUAAUUCUCUCUUUUUUGACUUUGGAUUAGAUUAACGCUUUAUUAAGAUUGGUUUAAACGCUAAGAUUGCUUAAGAAUGUGGAGGCCGAAUAGUACCUGCGCGAAGCCGCCGCCGCCGCCGCCGCCGCCGCCGCCUCUUAAGCUUCCUCGGCCGCGGCGUCGCCGCCGAAACCGCUUCGACGCUAGCUUCUUUUCUCGAAGACGCCCUUAGCGACUAGAGAACACGGUACGCUCCCACCUCCUCUCUAGCCUUUGCCGAGAGGGGGUAGCUCCCUUGUAACAACUUUUUUUUUUUUUAAUAUCUCCGCUCUAACCCGCUUAGUUUGGAUCUUUUCUCCCGCUAUUACGCGCUAAUACCGAAGUUUGUAAAUUAAACCUUUUUCUCCUUUUCCUCUAACUACUCUUUAAGGAGUAGGACGCUAGAUCCCAAAUUCUUCUCCCCCUCUCUCUCUCUCUCUCUCUCUCUCUCCUCUACCCCCUCUCCCCAAAAAUCACGUUAUAAGAAGGAGAUUUUAAAAUAAAAUUUUUAUUUAUACAAUUUAAAAAUAAGUAUUUAUAUCAAAAUAUUCUCGCUACUUACUAAAUAGCAAAGACGAAAAAAAAAAAAAGAAUGAAAAAAAAUAUUAAGACACUACCAUUUUCGCCAUUUACCAAAUGGUAAAUAUAAUAAAAAAAUGAUGAUUUGUCUUCAAUACUUACGCCACUUAGUAAGUAGCGUAAAUUUUUAGAUAAAAAUAUUAAUAAAAAUUUUUUUUUUAAUAAAAAUGCUAAUAUUUUUAGUUAUCUUAAUCAAUAUUUUUUUUUAAUACCCCCUCUGCGUUGUUCACGUUGGCGAACAAAACACUCACUUCUCGCAUGUGCCUCGGGUAUUUUCGAAGGCGUCGCCCUCCUUAAGAUGUGACAGUAUGAAUGUGGUGCAGUAGUUAUUGUUCAGUUAGUAUAAAGAAGAAAAGUUUGUUUUCAUGUUAUUUUUAUGAAAAAAUGUUAGUACUACCUUGUAUAUAAGAAUUUUCUUAAUUAAACUAACCAAACAAUGCGGUGCAGUGAUUAUAUGGGCAACGUAAGAUCUUAAAAAGGGCGUCGUCUCCGCUUUUGGGCUUGGCCCUUACGAACAACUCACAUUACCAAUAUAUAACGCUAACGCACGCAGAGGAACGUUUAAAAAAUUUAAUUAUAUGAAUUUUUUUAUGAUCUUAAUAUUUUUAUUACAAAAUUUUUAAAAUAAAUGUUUUAAUCCAAAUAUGCCAUUUAUUUAAUGGCGAAAAUUUAUAUUAUUUUAUAAAAAAAUUUUAUCAUUUUAAUAAAACUUUUUUGAAGUUUAUAGUGAAUAAAUCAAAAUGUGAAAGAGUGAAACCAUGGUACCCCAAAUUGCACAUAGCUAAAUCGUAGAGCAACAAAGUAAAAAGAAAAAAAUAAUAGGAAGGUGAUUAAAAAAAAUAAUUUAAUCGCUGUUUUAAUUUUGAUUUUCCAUCAUUUCACUUAUAAGCUAUUUAGAGCUGCCCUAUAGACUUUUAAAAACAUAUAUUAAAUUGCUUUGUAAUUGUCUGCAGCUUCCUCAACUGCUUUUCUUUUUUUAUUUUGAUAUACCAUGAUUUAACUAUGUGAAAUUUGAUAUACUAUGAUUUUAUUUUUUUUAUACGUUUUGGUAUUCUUACCAUAAACUUUAAACAGAUUAAUAAAAAUCACAAAUUAUAAUAUGUAUAAAAUUUCAAACCUAUAUCUUUUAUAUAAUUAAUCCUAUUUUACCAUUACUAAGUGACAAAAAAAGAGUAAGCUAAUGAAAAAAAAGAGUAAACUAAUAACACAUUAUUUUUAUUAAAAUUAGUAGAUAAACGUAUUUUACGCUGAAAAAACCUGGUUUCAACUUAUCAAAACAACUUUACUAAUUAAACAAAAAUAAUAUCAAAAUAAAAAAUUUUUAAUAAAUAGAUAUCAUAGCUGGUAUAAUUGAUAAAAAUAUGAUUUGACUAUAAAAUAAAAAAUGUUUAAAAAUGAAAUUGCUAUAGAUAAGCAGCAUUGUACGUACACUGACGUGAUCAUAAAUAUUUUUUGAAUUACUUUAAUUGUGAAAAAAAACACCCCCUUGAAGUUUAUGGGGGCACCAAAGCAUUAAAGAGUGAAAUCAUGGGAUACCAAAUUUCACAUAGUUCAAUCAUGGUAUACUAAAACGUGGAAGAGUGAAAUCAUGGGAUAUUAAAGUUCACAUAGUUCAAUCAUGGGACACCAAAGCGUGAAAAGGUGAAAUCAUAGCACACCAAAUUAUGAAGCAAUUUAAUAUAUGAAACUUUACUUAUUAUUUUUCUCUUUUAACUUUGGUGUCCCAUGAUCAAACUAUGUAAACUUUAGUAUAUCAUGAUUUCACUUUUUCACGCUUUGGUAUACCAUGAUUGAAUUAUGUGAACUUUGGUGUAGCAUGAUUGAUGUCCCCAUAAAUUUCAAAGGAAAAAGGAAAAAAGAAAAAAGAAAAAAGAAAAAAAAAAAAAAAAAAAUGCUCACGUGGAGUCGUCGUCGUCGUCUUUAAACUUAGCUCAGGCAUGUUUUAGCGAGGAGGAAGAGGAGGCUGCUCAGUGCUCGACGACACAUUAAAAAAAAAAACUUUUUUUUUUCUUCUUUUUCACGGAGCAGAGGAAGGGGCGACGCGGUAGGUAUAUACGAUGUAGAGGUAGAGGUAAACGGUUUCAUGAAGAGCUUCAAAGCGCUUGUUGUUUCUCCCCAACCCCUCCCCGGCUCCCCCUCCUCCUCCCCCUCCCCCAAGCAUCUACCUCAAGUGCCUGCGCAUGUUCGUUUGCCCCGGGACGUCGAAGAGGGGGCUGAGGGCGAAGGAGCGGGAGCGGCAGCUAAUAGCGGAACAGUAGGCGCUGCAGCAGAGGGAGUUCCAGGGGGGGUGAGGGGGGGGAAGCGGCAAGAUCCCAAUCCCAAAACGUCAAGGACAACGUACGUAACGUAACAUAUGGGGACAAAGAGAGAGAAUAGGCCUAGUCGCGAAGCUCUAGCAUUGAUCUCAAACCUAGAAGUUUAAACGACCUAAGACUCCGCUAAUAUCAAAAACCUACGUCUACAUUAAAAUACCAAUUACAUCGGGAUGAUUGAUCACAAAGGGUAUUACACUUAGGUCACAGGCUAACGCUACUUACGUAACACACUUGUUUUAGACGCUGACGAAGAAACCUCUAAGUUAGAUUCGCAUCAGAUUCACAAAAACCUUCAAUGUUUUACGUCACGAAGGAUACAAACCUAAGAGCCAGACGAAACUUAGAGGAGAUUGUUGGCUAGACUUAUUAGAACGUAAAGCGAACUAUCUUUCUUUACGACCUUGUCUUCUUCAGUGGUUCACAAUCUAAGAAACCUCUUAUACCACCGCUACUCAAAUGUCAUUGUAUAACAUAGUUUGGCAAAAACAAUACCUUAAAACGAUUGAACGUUAACCUUUGUUAAUGUUAGAACAAUCCAUUCCGUAUUACUUUACCACCUGCGUAACGUAUUAUAACAAACAAAUCUCGCUACGCGUUUUAUACCCUAGUGUUAGUGAUUCCGUUUGGAAGACGCAGCUUUGGGACGAUAGUCUAAUUUACGUUAUAUAGGUUAAAAGACAAGGGGAUUAUUAAUUUAAAUAGGUACAAAAGGGAUGAACCACAUCCACCAGGUUGAUAUAAGUACACAGCUGUUCUAUUCGAUGCAGCUUACCCGGGGACUAAGGCUCAUGUAUGAAACACCAGAGGUAUUCUCCGGCUACUAUGUCCGCACCAGUAAUUCGGUCGGACUCACCUGAACAUUUUAUCUGCUUCCGGGACGGCCAUAACGAAUACGGUCCACCUCGGGACUGUCGGCCGUAUAUGAAUGCUGUAGUCUCAAAGUCGAUGCACAAUGGCAAACCAGCGACCACUUAUGACGUACGCAUGUACAGGUCACCGGUUUCGUACGGAGGUUCCCACAAAGAAAGUGGGUUCUACCUUUCAAACGUCGAUAGACAUGUUCCGCUCUAACGUUCCUAAUGUAUUUGGAGGAAAGGACAGUAAGAACCCUUUAGUACCCACAAAAACGACAACUAUGUUAUCUAAACCGUCCGCAACUCACCAGAGGGCUACUAUCACGAUAGCAGCAGACCCUAAGCGAAGAACUUAUGUUCCAUGAGUGAAAAACUGUUAUUUGACAUUACCACUUUGACGAAUAAAACUAAGUGUAAUGAAGCAAAUGCAUCUUAUACGAACACAAGUUGGUAAAUAAUCGUGUUCGAAAGGAACUUCAGAAUUAUAGUAACAAGUCCAAGUAAGGUCACAGAUCAAAACAUUUCUGAACACAUGUAAGAAAUAACCGUAACACAUGCGAAGACCAAGAAAUACAAGAUGAAAGAUGGUGAAGUAGUACGUCAAACCUAUUCGUAGAUAGUAGGUACGUAUCUUUUUUUAACAUCGAAGUUGAUCAUUCAACUCACCGCAUAACAUAUGGAUUAACAGACCUAUUGUUAUACGAUCUAUUAGUUGAUUGAAUCUCUAAUAUACAUCCGAAAACCUCGAUUAAGACAUAUAUAGUGUCCAAGAUUAGAUAAGAGGUCUACCCUCUACGAAUAAGUUUAUAGUUCGUAUACUUUCACCCAAUCCACACUUUUGACAACGGACCAGGGGGACACCCGUUAAGAAUCGUCACCCAUCAAUACUAGUCCGUCAUGCCUGUAACUUGGUAGACUGUACCUUUUGAAAACGCCUUAAGUACGUACAUCGUUGGUAAGCAUCGGGGACAUUACGAGGACAAAAGUUCCAUCUGUAUGGAGAAGUUCUAAUAAACGAAGAAGAAAUUAUAAAGAAAGAAGAACUCUACAAAGAGACUCUUCGUAUCAAAUAUAAAACUUACAUCCUUCAGCUACUUGGGAACGUUGAACUAUACAGGCUCAAUACAAACUUACUCCUGAAAGGUGUAUUGGAAGUUCUGUUAACAGGACCACUCUUAACCGUAAGUGAAAUUUCGACUUUCAAAUAAAAUGUAUACCACUACUACCAACCUAAUGAUUCUGUAAUCAAGGUCAUAAAACCUUUUCCUAAAAACGAUUGACUUUGAAAAAACAUAAUGUUUGACACCUGAUAUAUUCAUUAUGAGUGUAGUAGUUCUUACAUUACACUGUACCAAAAUAUGGUGACAUGGGUAUUCUAGACUAAUGUUACAAAAAGAGGAUCGUUUUUUGAAAAACGGUGUUUUGCAACUGACCCUUUCUGUGGAAUUAAAGAUUACAAAUCGGUUAGAUGAAUAAAAUCACUCUUUUAGAUCGAAAACUCUUCUAGAUAGAAAAGAAAACUUUUAAAAACUCCUUUAUUUUACGGAUACAUCCUCAUUCCCUCUCUUAUGGCUAGAAUAAUCAGUGUGCCAAAAGACAGAAUCCCCCUACUCUAUACACUACAAUGUAUUAACAGAUUUUAGUACUCCAUUUAUGUUGUCAUUCAUGACCAAUACACUAAUUUGGACGUCUUGAGAAAGUAAAAGUACAAGCUUAUACCAACGUACGAACAGUAGGAUGAUGGUAUUGUACCAGAGACAGUCACAACCGAAUUGUAAUCGUUGACUAGAAAAUUCUAAAAAAACGUCUUUCACGGCGUCUUCCUUUGAGGUCUCAAUUCAUGUUUCAUUACCUAGAAGGUUGGUCGAACGGUAGUGUCUUCGGUUGUUAUCUGUUCGGUUUGGGGUUUGUUCCUCAACCAAUCGAAGAGUAGGAAGCCAAGAGAGUACGUUGAAAAAAAUAGAAAAAGUGAAAAAAGUAGAAAAUCUCCUUAAAAGUAUUCCCCUAAGAUUUAACAACUGGAACUUGAGUAGCCGAAAAAACAAAGUCUCUAAUAGUAUAUAUCAUGGAAUAAUAUUUUUCAAUAGUAAGUAGUAUCGUUUAACGUAGGUCGAUAAUGAAGACUAAAAGUGACAUGAAAUGAAGUACGUCAAAAAGUAUAUUUAUGAAGAACGUGUAGAGAAGUGCACCUACAAAGACUUUUGCGUUUAGGGCUGGUUCAAGAAACUCAACACGUCCAGACAACGUUACCUCGUUACUAUCGGUUAUGGAGAAGUGCGCAUUACUGUUGUACGGUUGACGUGAAACCUAUACCCUAUAGACGGUGGAACUCGAACGACGUCAGAACCACGUCUUUCUCGGCUAGUUCCGACGCCGUACCCUCGGCUGAAAGGGAGCACAGCAGGACACGUGUCCCUCGAGAGUAAACAUAUACACCUCGGGUUCGCCUCGAACGACACAAUUAUAAGGUAACGGUUUCAAAUUGUAGACACUGGAUUUUACCUUACGCCUACCCGCAACAGAGGAGGAGUUCCUAGCUCUUAGGAAGACGACACGACGUCAACAGAGACACGACGGUCUGAGUCGCCUUCUAUCAAGUCUACUACUCAUUCCAAGAGAAAAUACACGAAAAAAAAAAAAAAACACCACAAUAAUACUCCUCUAAAUUUAUACGAACAAAGACGUACAUCGAAACAACAUGAUAUCAAGACGAUUUUAUGUUUAGUUCCAAUAAAACACAGCUUUUAUAACCAUCUUUUUGCGGCGUACGUGUUUAGAGGGGUAGUAUGACGAUAAAAACGUGAAGUCGACUGAAAUGAUACCCGUUAAUACGUUAUCCAAGGAAUUUGAAAAUAAAAAAUUUAACUCUGUAGGAGUUGAAGGUCUGAAAAAAUUAACUCAAAAACACGAAUCAAUAGAAUUUUUUAAUCAGUUUAAAAAUAUUGAUGAUUAAUUAUUAUCAAUCGAUCAGAUCAAAAUAAACGAGUUUUGACAAUAUUUUAAACCACUUUGGUGGCCACUUAAACUGUGUGACGGAAGAAAAGACUUAUUUUAGUGAACGAAGAUUUUUUUUAAUGAUCAAUUCCUCCAGGGUUAAUUUUUUUCCUUUUUUUUUUUGACUCCCUAGAUAAAAGUACAAAAGGAUAUCAACUCUUCUAGAGGUAUGUUAAAUUGGAAAAAGGAUGUAAUAAUAUUGUGUUCUUUCUUUUCCUUUCUUUUCUUUUCCACAGUCGCCAGUCUUAGAAGCUAUGGUUUGUAGGACCACUCCCCGCUGAAUCAUCGGGUUUAUAACGGUUAUUCGCAUUUAGGUAUUACUAAUCGUUGUACACACCUCGGUUUAUUUUGUUAUGAAUGUAUAUCAUAGUAGAAUGCAACUAUUCUUUUACGAUUUAAUUGCUUACUGGAUGUAUUUAGGUGGCGCAUCUUUUUGUGAUUCGUGUGGUUGAGAGGGUGUAGGGACCAGAUAUAAGCAUUGACUGUGUCCCAAAGCUCUGCAUUGUGAUGUUGUAAUCGUUAUAUGUUUGUCUACUGAUAUUAACGAGUUCAGUUAUUUACAACAAGUUAAACUUUGGGUAAUUUAGUUGAAUGGUUGGCGAGAUGUGACUCACCCAUCUAGUUGUAUGAGAUAAUAUAGUGAGGACCCUGCCUUCGUCUCAUUAUAAGGAACUACGGUGACGUGGUCAUUGUUAGAGGGUUCGUCUACUUUUACUAACACGGCGUCUGACAACAAAUCUCAUGAAGAAGCCGGCAAACAGGUGGUUCAUGCCGUGCUAUACGAGAAAGUAUAGUGACAACCUCUAAGAGUUUACUGGAGGAAAGUGCGAUUACUUAAAUUGAGCGGGUCGAAGUAGGUCUCGAAAGUUUGGAUAGGUCAGAAGACACAUCUCACACCAGACGUUCUUGUCAUUUAAAACACUCAAAAUUCCCGUGUUUUUCUCCUGUCUUUUACGGUACUAAGGGCACUUAAAUUCGUCCUUUGCCGGAUCACACGCUCUUUACCGAAUUCUCUGUAAGUAGAUUGCAUCGAACCCUAUCGACAGUCAACGCUGCUUGAUGGCCAGUUAUUUCGUUGUUUUAAAAGUUAAAGAUGUCUUAAACGGAUUGUCUCUGACGUAGAGUGUCGUUCAUGCGUUUAGGGAAAGAUGUCUGUAAGUUAAAAUGUUAGUUAAUGGAUACCUAUGUUUUUUAUUUUUUUUUGUGUGGAGUUAGUUUACUCUAUAAUAGUUUACAUUUUAAGUUUGUUUAGUUAGUUUUACACUAUACGUAAAGCCGUUAUUUUCUCCUCUUGCGAUGGACAACACCUCCGUUUUGACCCGAUUUCCGUGGUAGUCCUAUCAUUGGUUUGGUUCGUCAAAGGGCUCCAUAGUUCUGAUAUAGCAAGAGUUUGAUAAUGUUUCUGUCUCUACUAUUAGUCGUUUAAACCAAAAGUCGUCCUACCUUAUCUUUACUUGGUUUUUAUUAUUACACUGUUUCACCAUCUAUUUUAAGUUGUCCAGGGUCUAAUUUUUUAUUAUAGUGUCUGGUGUAUAUAUAUAUAUAUAUAUAUAUAUAUACCCUACGUAUUUUCCAGCGAAAGAACUUGAUUGGUAAUAUUCUUGGUUUCAGAGGUUCGAUGACUUAGAAAGAAACAUCCAUCUUAAGGAAAACAGACCUUAAAGUAACAAAUCGGAACCUUCUUUGGACGUGGGAAGGUUUAUUACCCUUUAUAGGACCUCUUUUGUCUAACUAAAACAAUAGACGAACGAAAGGAGUCAAGUAUUACGACGAGUAUUACGUCGUAGAUCAACACUGUAUCUAUCAUUAUCCUUCUCUUUUACUAUUAUGUUGAUGGCCUUCAUCUUGUAAAGACUUUAAUAUAGAGUGUAAAAUCACGUUGACAAGGUGUUCCCGUUCGGUUUUUGUUUCCUUUUUUUUUAGAGUCUUGCAAAUCUCCUCUAAUAGGUAAGUUAAGAUGUAUACUUGAAGGAAUUAUAAAAAGAAGUACUUUUAUACAGGCAUUGAGUCGUCAUUUGAGAUGGGUUUUCAUCAAUAUAAUUGGCCCGAUUUUCAAUGUCAGAGAUAUUUUAUUGUUCUCAUCGUAACGAUUCUGUCUAUUCCAUCGAAAUCAAAACACUAAAAUUGUAAUGUUCUACCUAUAGUAAGCGAAUUAUACCUCUUUUAAAUUCAUAAUCGACAGAUCUGUGUGAUUAGAUUAACUAGAUCAAAGUAUCAUAGUAACGAAGAUUGAAGACGUUUAAAAUGUGAUCAGUUAUGUACCACAUUGUGGACCGUUCACACGAUGGCACGUAGAUCUCAGAUCCAAACCCACAAUUGCUGAUCAUGAUAAACUUGAAACUUUGGUGGAACUAUAGUCAAACUAGUAGUCAAUUCCCCAGACUAGUAGUAUCAAUGAGUGACACGCGUAAUAUGAGACUUGUCAAAUCAUUAACGAUGAAAGGUACUCCCCCAUUUAAUGAUGUUUACUAUUUAUUGAUCUUGAAAAAGAGUGUCUGGUACAAAGUCGAUGUUUGUGUCCAUUAUUUUUGGUUAUUUCCCUUUUUUUUUUUGUCUUUGUCUUUGUUUAUGGGUGUCAACCUUAGAACUCUAUUGGUGAUCCCCGGUCUACAAGGACAUUAAAUAGUCAGACUUCAAUCAGGAGUUUUGCUACGAUCGUAAGGUUGUUUAGUAUGUCUCGUAAACUAAAUCAAUACUAAACCUUAAACAUAUAUGGACGUGUAUUAACCUUAUAUAGAGACAAAAUUCCUCCUGCAGUUGUUCUUGUGUAUACUAUGGUCUGACGUUACUUUGUUAUUACCUUUCCAUUCGAUCAACCAAAAAGCUUUCUUUUUAAUAGUCUAUCUUUGUCCUUAAGGUGACAGACGUUGUUUCUUCUACGUGUAUUAUCUUUCUCCAGCCAGAAUCAAGGAGGUCCCUACAGUUUAUUCUUUGUUUUAGGUAAAAAGAAACGGAAUUAUACCUAUGUAGAGGAAACAAGACCUUAACCAAUUGUUAUAAGUUUAUAGAAAGCUACUUUUACUUUAUAUCUCGUAUGUACCAUUUGUUAGCUUUUUGUAUUACGCGAAGUCUUUCGAAUGUGGUGUAUUACCGUGUCUUCGUCAUGGGCGUUCUCCUGGUGGGUUACUAUACUUUAAGAAGUGGACAAUCGUUAAGAAGUUGAUUGAAAGUAAUCUGUUAAUAUAGAUUUCGAAUUAGUUUUCUUUAUAAUUUUAAGAAGUAGACGUAGUUUCUAUCUCGACUAAAAUUUAUCACGAUUAUUUAUAGUGUAUACCUAUUACCUAGCUACUUUUACAUGUCUUUCUUGUGGGAACAUGAGUAUACCGUUAACAUACGGGCUUACUUAAGGUUAAGAAGAUCAUUGUAAUAUAAAAUAGAUACUGACUUUUAUAGACGUUGGUGUCCUCUCUGUAAUAAGAGGACCCUGUAUAUACGCUUCAGUGGUGAAAUACACGGCGAUACCUUGUUCAUUAGUAUGUACUCCGUGGGUGUUUGUUUUGUUCACGUGCCCUGUGGUGUAUGUUUGGUUCUCUAACUCAUCGAGUAAAGCCUGACAAACGUUGUUUCCGAAGUAUCGUCCAAAAUGACUCAUACCAAGACAGUGGUAUUCAGGUGUUAGAAUGUACGAAUAUUUAAUUAGAGGUCAAACAAUGUUUUUUCAGAAGUAAGUCCUUCAACUAUAUAAAAGACUAUGAAGGAAAAUAUGAUCGUUCUAUACUUUGAUGGUGCCUGUUCGUUUUCUCCCAGUAUGAUUUAAGUAGAUUCAUUAUUUGAUGUUAUUUACUUACCAGUCCACCGUCAUACUAAUUAGACAUUUCAUCCUGUAUUAGUGUUCACACGAAAUAAAUAAUAAGUCUAAGACCGUUCGGAAUCCUUCAGUUAUUGAUGUAUUAUCGGUAUUAUUUCAUUUAGUUCUUAUUAACGAUGUACUAGCUUUCAUUUACUGAGACACAUGAUUCGUACAGGAAUUUAUACGUUCAAGUAUUCCUUUCGACGAAACACGGGUAAAUUAAUUAGAUCGUGGGUACAACAGUUUAUGACGAGACUGUUGGUCUUUUAAUAAGAUACAGGAUAUACAUGUUAUCCAUCUAUAAACAUUGUAGUGAAGAGGGAAGUAAAACCUUGUUUUUACCUAUGUUCCGUAAUUUUUUUUUCAUUUAUUUAUUUAUUUUACUUACUAUUCUUGAGCAUGUCCUCCAGGCGGUAGUGUCUUGAGUUGAUGACGAGCUGGUUAGUUUAAUGGGACAUCCAUUGUUUAGUGUUCCUUUUUCCAUUACAACGAUUUUUACCUGUUGUUUUCUUGACUUUUGUCUAUGGAGUUGACAACUAUAGAUUCAAGUUUCCUGUCAUGUUGUAGUUUGUGUGUAUUAUUGUCGUGUAUUUUCAUUUGAUUGUAAAAAACAACUACAUUGUCUUCUUUAAUAAAACCAAAUCUGUAGUCACAUUUAGGACUUUUCUUUAAAUAAUUUUUUUUGAUGAACGUUUAUGUCAACUAUUAUAUUCAUUGAUAGCAUGGGUUGUACAUACUGCAUGUCAAAGUCCUUUUGCGUACGAUUCUGUUCAAUUUUUUCUUGUUCGUGGGUUUUCCUUCAUGGACUCUAUCCGGUUGAUACAACAUUGGGUACGAUUCAAGGAGGUAAAGAAAGUGGACGGUCACACUCCUAUAUAUCCUGUUUAUGUUAUAGUGUUAAAAUUGUGAUAAAUUCUUUAGCUUUCGUCAUUUGUAAUGGUUUUGUCUACUUAGUGGAAGAGUGUUUGUUAUAAUCGGACGUUUCUACGUAUUAUAAUUUAUAGUCUCUGUGUUGUAUUGCUUUUGGAAAUCGUUCCAAGUAUAAGUAGACUAUCCUUUUAGUUGGACAAGGACCUCCCCGGACUCGGUUCUCAGGUAAUGAGGUAGAGGUUAAAGAGACGUUUCUCUACCGUUCGAAUUAAGUUUUAAACGUUCUCUCUACACAAACUUUUCUGUGUUCGAUUACCCAACCUAUGACCAAUUAGGUAAGGUUCAGUAGUCUCGUCUUAGGAUUUUCUCUCGUCUUUUGUUUUAGCGCUAAUGCUGUAUGUAUUUGUAGUUAAGUGGGUAACAACAAAGUAUAAAUGCGUAUUAAAUCAAGUUUUCCUGCUCCAUUAAGGUCAAAGACUCCUUUAGUACGAUCCAAAGAUAUCGUUUUAACUAUAGUUUACCAAAUUCGUUAGUUCUUGGCAUGUUCGUCAUAGGGAAUCUCGGUCUGGUGAGCGAGUCUUCGAGGCACUUGACGCAGUGGGGAAACAAGUGCGUGACUAGGGGUUAAGGAUGUUGGUUUCUUCUUGGGAGCUAAUUAGCGAUGUGGUCGAGUUAUCGUUGUUUUCUUGGGAGUUAGCUGUGCUUAUCAACUUCUUUGCUUGGUACGUUCUGUUACUUCCCCUAGCUCCUGCUCCGAACCUAACUCUCCUGCUUCUGCUGCUGCUGCUCCUCCUCUCUUUGCCGGAAGCUGUCAACUUAGCGGUAAUAGCGGGGUUAGGAAGAUCUUAAAUCCCGAGGAGAAGCUAGCCUUAGCUCGCCCCUGCUCCCCUAAGAAAAAGGGGGUUGGAGAGAAGGAGCAGGCUCUCCCCGCUGCUCACACCUGGACACCAUCUCCUCUCUCGUACCCUCGCACAAGCAGCUCCUCUCUCCCCAUAAAUCACAGUGGCGAAGGGCCCCAGGGCCACUGUAUUGGCAUGUGCGCGGAGCACCGGGCACAAUGCUUUAUGCCAAAGAAACUUCUCCCGCAUGUGGUUGUAGUAAUCUCACCAAUUUUAGUGGCGGGUGCCAGCCAUUCGCAUGUGGUCCACGCUAUAAAACUCCUGGCGCUUUUGGGGUUACAUUCUUUGAAAAUAAAUAAAUAAAUAAAUAAAUAAAUAAAUAAAUAAUAAGAAACUUGGUUGACCUCUACGGUGCACAGUACUACAGUAUGUAAAGUUUGCUCAAAUUGGCACGCCCCCCCCCCGACCCUUCCAAUAAUCAACUCUCAUAAGAAAUUUUCCUUUUAUUAAAAGAUCGACAUUUUAAUAAAAAAUAGAUUAAACUAAAAAUUUAUUAUUAAAAAAUAUCUUAAAAAAAAAAAUCUAUUGCUAGAAAAAUACAAAGAAGUUCUUUGGUUUAUGGGCGAUUAUUCGGUGAGAACGAAGAAUGUCUUCGAAGAGGGCAUCUUUCAAAGGACCACGAAGAAUUGACCCACAUGGUAUCAGCAAUCUCACGUGCCUCGUAAUAGAGAACAGUAAAUUAACUAAGCGUUGGCUCAAAUCAUGCCGUGUCUAUUAUAUAUUUACGAGUCAUGGUUAUAACUAAUAAAGCCACGUUACUCCUCGAGGUUCAUCUAUUACUAUCGCCUGGACGAGCUGCAAUUAAAGCAUAUUAUUAUUAUUGCUCGAGGUCCUCUGCUUGUACAUGAUACGUACACUUGACUUGGCUUUUCAUUUUCUAGCAUUUUAACAUUUUAGCGUAAUCAACGCACCCAUUUUAGUGUCCAUGUGUUGAAUGGUCUACCCUCUUACCCAUUUACGCGUCAGGGACACUAGACUUAGGGGAGACAAUUUUCUCGACGUGUUCCUUGGACUUUUGUUGGUGUUUUAGUUUCUUUCCCAGUUAACGGCGUCAAGAAAUUUUUCCUUCUAUGAUUGGAUUGAAUAGUUCGGUUAAUUAGGUGGGAACUCAUCCAAAAGGGGUAUAAUCGUCAUUUUUUACUGACGUUUAAUACCCUUAGUACGUCACGUUUUCUAAAAUGAGGCUGCUCGCUUUAAGACUUAAUUCUGUACAGUCAAUUCUAGUACUGUCAAUUCUAAUUAUCCAUAUUCUUGUGGACUUCUAACAAUAUUUAAAUGAGCUUGGACCCCGCCGCAAGAAGUCUCGUCUUGUUAGACCACAUAUAAGAAGAUAAAAACGCAUAACUGAAAGUACACAUAAAACUUUUACUUUACUUGUUUAGAGUCGUGUUAAGAGAGUCUGUUUGACAAGCUGAAUAGCGAACUUUAUAGGUAGACGAUUUGACCGACCGGCAUAAGACGCUAAACUUUAGGAAUGAAAGAGGAGGUAUAAGAGGAACCGGAACACGAAAAGUAGAAAAGGUCACGUAAAAUUCGUAAUUACUUCUUUUUCUUUACUCGAAGAAUUGUUCGUCACUUGACUCUAAGGGUGAGGAGAAGAGAAACCGGAAAGUAAAGAUCAACUUCCGUGGAAUUGUUUGACAUGUGUCGGAGGGUUAGUCUUUUUCGAGACAGUGGACUCUGUUUGAGGGUUUGGGACAAAGGUUGGAGGUGUUGUGAUGUGGGUCGGAGGGAAAACGGGGGGUUGAAGGAGUGGAGAAGGAACUGGGAAAGGUGUAGAGGGGUGGCGAAGAAGGGCCGUAUUUCUAAGGAGUAAUAGUGUAUUAAGGAGCGUAAGGGCCCAAGUUAGAGAAGACGGGAGAAGUAGUGGGAGAGACGGGAGCGUUGUAGGGGCAUUGUGGGCGUUCGUUUAUCGUUGCUCGAAUUUUGAUAGGGCAACUGAGGUUUCCCGUAAAGCAGCUGGUUGAAGAGCCGAAGCAGAUUUAUGGGUGGAGCAGGGUUUUCCAGGUGGUACGUUGGCAUUACAAGGUGAGAGAAUGUUUGUGGGUUGUAAAGGUAGAGGGAUUUGGUGAAAGAGGGAAGAAGCUGUUCCGGGCGUACCGGCGUCCGACUAUCCUGGGGCUAGUAGCAGUGCGGUAAACCCCUCUUGGGAGAGGAGGCGUAAAGUAAUUUGUGCAGUUCGCGGAGAAGCCGUUCCGGUAAAUCCCGUUUGGGUAACUAGUGUCGUAAGGUCCUUCGCUAAAGGAACAAACCGUUAACCAACUUGUCUACGAAACGGAGCGUCUACAGAGGCGUAAAACGCAUGUACAGUUGCUCACGCCACUGAUAUAAUCAGGAGACCAGCUUUGGGAAGGAAAAACGCAUCAACACAUAGGUUGCUGGUUCUAGCUAGCGUGGGUACAGCCUCUAACGUCCCUACUACGAGUGUUCGCAGUGACGCAGGCCGAGUUUACCUGUACUUAACCUGACGUCAAGAGACUUUUCUAGGUCUCGGACGACACUGACGGAUAAGACCGUCAUGGGUGGUUAGUAGUGUAAGGUUCUCAUCUCUAAAGAAUGCCCGUAAACUAGUUUGUCCAGAGAGCGUCGGAGGCAUAAGGGUCAGAACGUUAUGGGUGUAUAGUUUGAUCAGGUCCUGUGGUGUAAAGGGAGGCCGUGGACAAGUUUGUCGGCCACCCGGCUAAGGUAUAGCGGGUUAAACCACUUUUGUAGCUAGUAUCGCAACUUACGGCGACAUAGGAAUAGUCCAUAGUUUCGUUUGUCGAGGUAUCGGCUCGAUUGAAGUGGCAUAGAUCGUAUUGGUUGUUGGUAGCUUCAGGUACUACGAUUCGAAGAUACUCCGUAAAGUAGCUUGUGGAAGAAUCGUCACAGGUAUAGCGGACGAAAGCACAUGUAUAGUUCGUUACGCCACCUCCGCUUACACAGCGUCUUCUUUGGGUAAAACUAGUGUACCCAUACCUCGACGAGGGGAAGAGAGGCGGGGAGGCUCUCGCGCCGCCGCCUGAACUCCUCGUUCCCCUUCCACAUGAGUAGCCCGCUCUUCCCUCUCGUUAACCCGCCGCUUCCCGGAGCGGCCUCCAGCGCCAUCUCCUUCUCCCGUAGCGACUUCUCCGCCGCUGCCUGCUCCCGCGCCUCGUAACGCUGCGUCUCCCGCAGCAGGACCCGCCGCGCCGCCAGUUUCUGUGCCGCUCGCACCGCCUCCCGGCUCCCCCGCCGCCUCUCGCUCCUCUACUCCGCCCACUCCUCCCCCUCCAAUCUCACCUCCUCCGGUACCGCCUCCUCCUUCCGCACCUAAACCUCCUCUCCUCUCUCCGUGCCCCUCCGCGGCGCCUCCUCCCUCUUCGUCUAGGAGAGAAGCGCCCAGGUCUCCGCUAGUCUCUUCCUAGAAUGUCGUCACCUCCGCUUCUGGCUCCUCCUCCUCCUCCUCCUGUACCCGCAGCGGAGAGGACAGCAGCGCCAAGGUGUAAUCACCCUUUCGCGCUCGCCCUUAUAAACUUCGCCCUAUAAUUUAAUGGUUUAACUGGAAGGUCCCCAUUUUUUUUUUUUUAUAAACUUCUAAGUUUACGUUACCUUUCACUGAAAAUCCCCUCUUUACCGUGAUUUAUUAAAUUCAUGAUGCGAGGUUAGUUGUUUGUAGAAGUCCAUUAAGUGGAGGUUGUCGAUGCACCCCCGUCCUUUUCUUUUUUUUCCCUUAGUGUUGUUAAUGACGCUGUCUUCUUUGGCCUCUCCCCCCCCUCCCCCCCAGGUCGUAUAGUACACUCGGACAAGUAGUGUCUCACAUUACACCCAACUACCGUAAAUACAGGUCCGGAAACUCGAAUCGCUGUCUAAGGUGGAAGGGAAAGUCUCACACGUCAAGGUGGUUGGACGGUUCUAGUAAUGCUUAUUUAAAUGUUGAGUUUCCGUUUUAAAGUGGCGUACAUUUUGUCUAUUACAUCUUUCUUAUUGGAAAUACGAGUAAUUUUCUUCUUUGUGUUUGCGUUUAUCCUGGCGGCCAACGAGUUUAGAAACGAAUCAAAAUGACAUCAGGAGCUAAAAAUUUAAAUUAACAAAAUCCGUGAAGGUAAGAGUUGAAUAGAAUCUUACUCCUACUUCUGGGAGUCUCUUUUAAGAAACGAAGUCACAAAUGAGAGAAUAGGGCUCUCCACUUUAACCUGAGCUACAACACUCUCACUUAACGAUAGUCCAAAUGUUGUCACCGGCGAUAUAACCAAAAAUCAAUCAGUAUAUAUCCCAAAUUACUUUUCCCGACGCUAUUUUAGAACGCAAUCAAGUUUCUGGUUCUACUAAUCAAAAUUUCGAGCCCAAUAUUCACUUUGAAUCGUUUCCUCAAUUCCCUGAUAAACGUCCUACGUGGGGUCAUUUUCUCAAUAUACAUGCAGACAUCUUCCUGUAAUAAUAUUGGUCGUUUUCAGACGUUAUGGAACGCUAGAGACGAGCGGAAGACCGAAGAAGCCGGUAGACUAACAACAGUCAUUUUCAUUGAGAAAGACUCUAGUAAAAACCAAGGCGUCAAACGUCCGGCACGUCACAAGAAACGAGUGCCCGGGUUCGUCGGAGGGCUCGAAGGGCUGGCUUCAAAGAGACCGGUCAAUCACGAUGGACAAAUAUUACUGGCUAAGGUAGAUACUCAUUGUCAUUAUACCACAAUUUUCUUUUUCCAAAUUCACACGCAUCAUAAUAUCGGAAUAACGACAUAUUUAUCUCCAUUUAUUCCAAGAGUUUAUGAAGCAACAUCUUAAUACUCAAUUAUUCUCAAAUGAACGGAAGAAUAGUUCCUGUUCUAAGGUCCGAAACGGUGAUUCGCGUAUAGCAUGUGGCUCGAAUUAACCUAGUUCGUCCUAUAUUUACUAUUGUAACAUGCGGGUUUAUCGGGGACAGGUUGCGGUUGGUUAACGAGACUAAGGCUAGUAGAAGCUUCAGUGACAACGUCGAUAGUGUGAUCGUUAGACGUAAUCAAAUGUUUGAGGUGAAAGUAACAGUGCUUUUUCUUUUGUGUUGUUAAGUAAAUAGAUCGAGAAAAGCUAUGUAAUUAUAACAAAUUUACGGGUGUUUUCCCAAGAGUAUGAUAUCGUUACGUAUAUCAAAUACUUCCGGUGACGUUGGUACACUUUUCUCAUUUACUUUUCUUUAUACUAAAUUUAAAAGGUAUGGAGCAUCCUAUUCUUAUUCUCACUAACGAUAAACUUUUCCAGAAUGAUACCUAAAGGAAUGGUUUUAUUAUUCUCUCUUUCUGAUUGGUCAACUCGAUACUGUUUGCGUCGUUGUUCUUCUUCUGGCCCAGCGAGGUUCUUUCUGGUUGGAGAACUCGCACAGUGUUUAUAGUCUCGAACUGACUACCACGAGUGAACUUCUAUGUUUCGUCUUCGAUUGAAGAGACACGACGGUUUAUAGUUCAGGAACAAGCUAGAUAGAUCGGACACAUACAAAUCUCAUAGUUGGAACUUAUACAAGACGUCCGUAACAACCUUUUUUUUUUUCUUUCAUAUAUUCACUACUAUAUGAAUCAACGUUUUCGGACUCCAUCUUUUUAGUAAAUUGAAAAAAGUAACGUGUAAGAAGUAGAUAUGUCCCAUAGUUAUGACUUAUUAAAUGACUUUCAACUAUAUUACAAAAAUGAUUGGUGUUUUAUAACAGAGAGUACUCGACGGGUUAUCUUGUUCUGCCAGCAUUCUCGGUCUAUACUUGGUUAUUGAUAAGGUCAACGUUUUUAGAGCCUCUCAAAGGUUGAUAGUCCGUAACCUCUACCGAAAUGGGACAGGAAACUAUAUCAGUACUAUCAUGGACUUUUAUUUGUGUCCUUACUUCCCUUUUAACUUCUUUGAGUUUUGCCGUCUAUGUUCUACCUUUGAACUUAAAUUUUACUUAAAAAGAAUGGUAGCAAUUCCUAACGUUAGUGUUCUUGGUACUUACCUCCUUUCAGCUUAAAGGUAUUCUGUAAUUCUUCGUAUUUAGGUUCGACAAUGUGUUUUUAGGACUCUACAGUUCCUCUUCGUUUUCGUGUCGUACCGUUCGUGGUAUAUCAUGUCUCAUGUACUGUAUUAAAUGUCCGCAUAGACAAAUAGUUUAAAUAGAUUUAAUAUUACACUCUUUAGUGAAACUAAAACACGUCCUCUUUUAAACUUUCUCCGUACUAAGUUUUCAAGUUUCCUUUAUCCUUCCCGAUUAACAUUUUAUAUAAAUCUUUUUGGAAUUUAAAACGUCAGAAUGGUGUUAUGCUUAUCAAUAACUAUGACGUAUAUAGACGUGCUUCUUGUGUCUUUCCGGUUGUAGUCAUAAUGUUUUGGUACUCAAGAAAGGAUGAUAUUAUCUCUUCGAUAAAUAUCAAAAUAUGUAUUAUUUUUGUCCUUAAUAUUAAGUGGGGUUUAUCUUUGAGGACAAAAUGUCUAGUAAAUCUGUGUGUCACGGAUAAAUGGCAUAUUAAAAAGUAAGAGACCUUUUAACGAGCCGAACAGUCUUGGCGUGAAUAAUAGUGCGAGUUAGGUCCGAGUCAUUCUUGUUACAGUCUUCGUGAAGCUCGUCGCAGUCAGCGUAGACGGUGCCGUUAAGGUUAUAGGCGGAAGAAAUCACGUCCACGUAGCAACUGAGGUAGAGGCCAGUAGGGUGUAUACACGAAAGACCGAACAUCAGACGAUUGAUAAAGUAUGAACACGAGAUAUCUCUUUAUUUAGUCUAUAUCGUUCUUCGUCUAAGUCUUAUACGUCGUUAAAUUUCACCUAUAAAUUAAUGGUCCUUUUUGGGGUCGUUUUGGUAGUCGAAAGAGUUAAUCGAGUAGUUGGCCUUCAUGACGUUAUAGAGGUAGUAAAAAGGGUGGGUUAUUUCUACUUCUACCUAUGUACAAAUACGGGUAGGGCUCGGAGGCGGGACAGAGGAACCGUUAACGGUUAACUAGUGGACAUUUACCAGGUCCUUCUCUUCAAACUUGUUAAUUAAAGUCUUUAACCAAGCUCACUAAAUCUUCAUAAUUCUAUGCAGUUCAAGGUUCCAUUAUCUAAAAAAGACGUGGACACUAGUAGAAGUGUGAGUGAGGCUCUAGUUCUCGAGAUGCCUAACAAAGUCGUGAUAGUACUGCUCCUCCUAGUUUUUCUCCCUCUUCGGGCUACUUAAGGGUCCCAGGGGGUCCUGACAGAAAUCAUGGUCGUCCAUGAAGGACGUAUUUUUUUUUUCUUUUUAUUUUCUUUAUUUAUUUAAUCCACUUAGACAGUUGUAUUUUUUUCUUUAUCUGUCUUAAUUCUUCUCUUACCACUUUUUCGACUGAUUGGACUAUCCGUUGUCGUUCACUGGCUUCGGGAGAAAGUCGUUUAGAUAGCUAAUAAGGUACGUGGAAGAAAAGUUAUAGUCGGAAUAAGGUGCGUUCUAAUUCUUAGAUGUUCUAUCUAUUGAUCGAAAGUUAUCGUGUAUUUCACUUACUAAUCUCUCCCAAUAUAGAGAAGUCAAAGGAGGAUAAUCAAUACUCUUUACCUCCAGAUAGAUAUUCUUUCAGGUCGAAUAGAAUCGACGACGUUAAAUGUCACAGUAUAAACAUAAACAUUUGUUGUUUUACUCUAAACACGUAUUAAAAGUAGUGAAACAAAGUCAAACUACCUAUUUUAAAAAAAUUAUAGUUCGAAGUCUCCUACAUGUUCUUUUUUUUAGAUUAUGGACGAGUCCUCGUGGAAACGAGUGAGAUACGUAAAAUGGUCAACUUAGGUUCAUACAUUCUCGACAAGAGAACAGCCAACCCAACUUACCUUCCUUUACCUGGAGGACUUAGGGCCGUGCACGGAACACGUUGUAAUUUUGGUAACACUUGUGUUAAGUAUCUCUUUUUCUUUAUAUAUCGUUAUUCAUUUCUUGUUGAUUAGUUUGUUUUUGUCAGUGUUUGUAUACCGAAAAGUGCGAUAUUAUGAUUCCAUUUAUAUAAACGUAGGUAUUCAACUAAAUGAAACGGUAUUGUGGACAUAAAAAAUAUUCUAUUUACUUAUAUUAGUAGUUAUGUAUUCAUUUGUAAUGUGUGAGGACAUAAAGAAACAUUUUUAAAGUAACGUACUUUGUUUGUGUAAAUUCAAAGAACUCCCAUGUAGUGAAAACUUAAUUCUUUCGGCAUGAGAAAGUACUAAGUCACUCCUUUUGUUCAAUCCUUCGUCACGUUUCGAAUAGAAGGAGAUGGAGAAAUCCCAGACGAUCGUAACUUUGUUAACGCCGUAGUUAUCGUAGAACUAAGAGGUCGGAACUUCGAGAACGUCGGUAGUGCUGUUGAACUAGGAACAGAUGAAGAGAUCGUUUUUGGACUUCACUGUGCAAUUUAAAAACCACUACGGACGAGUUAGUGGAUAAUUGUUACUAGAAGAGAUAUCCAGGUCCUGUAAGGUUCAAGGUUUGGAGUAUUUUCUUCUUGUCGUAAUUCCUCUUCGAUCACUUGUCAACUGAAAAACUGGUGAUACAAAAUUAAACAAACGAAAAAAAAAUUAUAAAUGUCGAAUUUUUAAACUUUUAAAGGUUGAGUUAAUUAACUAAUAUCGUGACAUCUACCAAUUUUUAACGUAUAUAAGAGAUUACUAAAUCAUUGAAGUAAUUGGACCCUGUUUUGGGCUAUUAGCAUAAGAAAAACAAAUAGAAGAUGAUUCCUUCAAAGAAACAAUCCUUAGUAAAUUUGUUUUUUAACGUCUUUCAUAUUCUAUCGUUUUCUAACUCUGUGUCUUACAUAUUGGAGUUAGUAUAAGAACAGUUGACACUCAAACAAAUCACAGUUUCAAGGUCAAAAUAGUGACGUAUCAUGUAGGUAGGGUCGGUAAAGGAGUUAUCGUCAGUAAGAGAAACAAUACCGUGGGACUGUCCUUGUGCUUUCUGUCAACGUACGAUUGGUAUAAGUAUUUAUAAUACUAAAUAGUCUAAGAAGUUCUUUAGUAUAUGAUCUCUUUAUGCUUUAGUCUAUAAAACCCACGUUAUUGGACAACACGGUUCGCUACACUAGGUUAACGGUAACACUGACUUUCUUGACAACCGUACCGAUAACCUUAAGGAGGUUACUCAUCGUGUUCUUCCAAUAGUUACUAUCCCGCCAUAAAGGAGGGAACCUUUGGUCUGUAACGCUAUUAUAGCUACUAGUAAGGUUGUCGUUAGCUCGUCUAUGUCUUCAAAGGAUAACGUCAGUUGUGGACACUCAGUAGUUUCCUAAGAGUUAAAUAAUCCGUAAUGUUUAUAAAUACAAUUCAUUCUUUAUGAAUAAAAAUUUUUAAGUCGUAUUAUUAUACGGUUUAAAUCCUAAAUCUAACUCUUAGACGUCAGUUACCUUUCAAACUUACAAAUAAAUGAGAAAACUUCUUUCUUUGGUUUUCUCCGUUUCUUUCUAGUUUUAAGUGGAAAACCUUUACGGGUUAUACACAACAACUAAGAUGCUCUACUCGACGAAAAGGCUUCUUACAUACUUGAGGUCACCGUUACUGCUGACGAAGAUAAAGUGGAACGAAUGUACAACUUGGUCUCAUUUGUGGUAGGGGACCCAAGAAUCAAUGACCAUCACUAAGCGGGCAUUCACGUCUGACUUUUUAGUAAGUACAAUUGGCGUGUACAACUAGAGUCGAGAAUUUGGUUUUGACGUCGAAUUCAUUAUUAUCCGUGUAUUUCAUAUUAUAAAGUUACUCUUAAUUAAUUAUUACAGGUAACAGCCAAAUAGAAACGUUCGAGUCAGUCUUACUUUUGUUUAACACAUUUUUUUUGAACUCUUACUUUUUUUUUUUUAACACAUAGUUUAUCAUAGAGAAUAGCAGAUCUAUGACAAGCUCUUGAAAUGACAUUUUUAACUGUGGACAUAGUUCACCAAAUCGGUUUAACUUUUCCCAAGUUACUCCAUCUCUAUACUUCGAACCCAGAGCAUAUACCUCGUACGAUCACUGUUCCUACUCUUUAUUCGAAUCGAUCCAACACCUCUUUCGAUCACUAUUUUAAGAUGUUACUGUCCAUGUGAACUCGAUUAUUCAAUCGAUUAUUACAAGGCCGUAUCAUUCACGUUGGAAGUAUCUUCUAAAGAAUCAGAACACAACGAAGUUUCAAAUUGGAUCUGGUAUGAAGUGAACAUAUAAUUGAAUCGAUCGUUAGUUACAUCGAAAAAAUGUACAUUUUAUAAACACGUUAUACUAUAGUAGUUUUCUAGAGUACAAUAGUGUAACAGUUAAUAUAGUGCUACUGUUAAAUUUUCCACUCCUAAUCCGUUAACGAUGGCUAUAAUUCUCUAUCAUUCUUCUUGUUUUCCAUUCGGAUAUUUAUGGACCAGUUAAAAGUUUCCUAGAGGGAGUUCUUCUGCACGUAGUCGUCCUUAUUACAGUGGUUCGAAUUAUGAUUAAUAUAGUGGGCCUUGGUCGUGUCGACGUAGGAGGAGUGAGGUGAAUGGUAACGCAUUUUGGAUUACUUUUAACAUACAUAGUAUAAUUCAGGAGUCAGGAUGUACAUAGAAGCUUCCCAUUCUCAACUUUUAUUCAUCUUCCCGGUCAGUAGUUAGUAGCUAUAAGUGGAUCUUAAUCGUCUUUCAUGGAAACGGAAACCUCGUUCAGCUCGGUACUCACGGCGUCGACGCAACGGUCGUAAUAAAAGAAGAUAUUUCGAUUACCAUCUUAACUACUCUUCGUUAUAGUGUUACGGUUGUUUUAGUACCAUCAGCUACCUGAACAAGACGUAUUAUGGUUAACAUACUUUGUUUACGUAACUUAUUCUUAUAUUAGUUUAUAGGUGGUUGAUAAAAAGUUUACCUUGUCUUUUAUCUCAAACUACAAGUUUUUUGUUUUACUCAGUGGAUCAUUGAUUAAUAGGUAACAAUACAACCUCACAGAUUUUAUAGAAAAUAAUCAUCUUUGUCUCUUCCGUAAAACAUAUAUACGUAUUCUAAAACGAAAAGACUUCUGUAAACGUCUUCAUACUAACAGUACUUUUCAUUAAAGGGUGUACAUACAUGUACACACGCACACAAUUAGUUCAAAGUUUAGAUAUGGAAAGGGGAAUAUAGGCAGGGAGGUACACGUUCUCGUUACCGGUAUUAUCGUCGUCGAAGGUAUUGGGUACUAUCGCCUAAGGUGUAUUUAGGGUUUUUAAAUUCAUAAAAUGAGAGGAUGCGUUCUUAUUUUACCUCCAUUUUCUUCUCUGUUAUCAUUUCAGAUAUCGAUACGUUUAUUCCUUCGAUUUUCGUAAGGAAGCAGAGGGAAAAGGUUGGACGAAAAGAAGUUCGAACAACAUUGGCUUUUGGGAGUUGGCAAGAACUUGACGUAGUCACCAAUUUGGAAGUACGCACGUAAAGUCCCUGAACUUCUGGAGAAGUUACCCUUACAAAAGGACGUUCUUAAUUUAACAGCUGAUCUACUUCUAAAGGGCGUUCUUAAUUAACAGUUGAGUUAUUUCAAAAGGACGGUCCGGAUUAUUAGUUCACGUGGAGGAUAUACGUUGUGUAUAAAUACACCAAAUACGGUUCUUUUUUCCUUUUUUGUCUUUUCUUUAAAUAGAUAAAGAUAUUAACCUGUUCAAGUCUAUUUGAUCCCAAGGUCUACUAUUACCACAUCAAAAGCCCGAGACAUUAACAAACUUAACAAGAAAGGUACAGUUUUACUUUUGCCUUACUUUAAGGAGUCCAAAAAGGAGUUUCUUGUCUAUUUACACUUUCCAUGUGAUUUACAGUAGAUCUCCUUAGAGAACUCCCAUAUUCAUAAGCAUGGUCUAGGUGUUAAAGGACCAAUUAAAGAAGUUCGCGUUAUCAAACUAGUAGGUACGACUGGGAACCCAAAGAAGCUGGACCGGAACGUUCUUUGAGGUACUUCUUUAAUUAAUUUGUAGUUAAAUAUUUUAGAUUAAAGGAGUAACAUGGACUACUAGAUUUUUAGUGUUUGACAUAGUCAAGAACUUAAUGUAUUCUUGAUAGCAUCUGCAUAAGUUUUCGUUAUUGUGUUGUAUAAAACUGUGUUUUCUUUAGUUUUAAAAUUUGAAUCAAAGACAUCCUUGUAAUAUCAUGUAGGUGCUGGUUAAAGAGUUUAAGUUAGUCUUGCGAGUAUCCAUUUGAGUGAUCUUUUCGUUAUAUACGUUGUAUAAUGUUUGGUAUUUAAGGCUACUGUACAUUAUGGAUUUGAUUAAGAGAGACCCCUUUAAGUAGUUUGUACUUUCUCCGUAGUCGUUAAUGGAGAAACUACCUAAAGAGCACGAGAAGUGCUUAAGUUGGUGGUCUUAGUGAACCGAGUGAGUUUUUGGGUAGUGUUGGAGGGGAAGGAGCAGGAUAAGCAGCAGAAGGUGCUUUACGCCAGGUUACCUCUGCACUCUUUGCCCCAAAAUUUCUUCGGCGACGAGCGCGGUAACUAGACUCUCCCUCCUCCUUCGCUCCUCGCUCCUUCUUCUGCAGCCCUGCUCCUCCCUGCGACCACCGGAGCAGGUAAACCUUCGCCUGCUUUGGGAUUGGGAUCCCUCGAGGCGGCGCGGAGCCAGCGAUGCUUAGGCUAGAAAAGAGAGCAGAAAAAAAAUCACAAGAGGCCAAGAGGGUCUUUUAGUUUUUUAUUUUCUUUUUUUUCCUCGUGGCCGUUGAGGCAUAAACUAGAAUUUGUACUUUGUGCGACACCUCGGUUAACCUUCGUCUGUGCACAGUUUAAACACUAACGUCAAACCUAGUUCACCUAAAAAAAACCCGCAGGCGUAAUUGCCAGCCGUUGCCAUUUGAUGGCAUGCCAGGCAAGUGAACAGGUUUUAAGGUUUACAGAGAGUAAUUGUAUAUCUCUUGUUUUUUAUAAUAUUCUUUUAGUAUCCUUACAAGGUUUUAAAUUCAGUAAAAAACUUAUACAGUUACUCGAUCGAAUUAAACCGUAUCCACUAACAGCAAAUAAUGAAGUCUAGAUUUAGGCAGAUAAUUUAUAGUAUAAAGAUUAAAAUUAUUUUCAUUAUUUAAACACAAAUUCUUUUCGGAGGUUAAAUCAACCACGUAAACACUUCAAAGUAAACUUCUCUCUAGAAAGUUUUUCAUUUUGUUUUUUUAAAACUGAACAUUAGAAGGAUUGCUUCCUCUCUCACUCACAGUUGGUAGUAUAGCAUUAAAUACGUUUAGAGUUUCGUACAAUGUAUUCUAUCAUACAGGUAAGAGGAAAAAUCAUUCCGAAGGUGACUUCGAGCGUUAUCGUUAUAAAAAUGUUUGAAAUACUAUUAAAUACACGAUUCUUAAUUUAUAGAUUUUAUUAUAAAGUUAAACAAACAGUUUCAUAUUAUAAAAGAUCGAAUACUAAGGAUUAAACCAAAAAAUAAUAAUUAAUAGAAACUCAACAAUAAUAAUAAUAAUAAUAAAGAAAAAAGAAAAAAAGCAGAAACGGGACAAAAAGUAGAGAGAUCUCCGGAACAACGGAGUGGGUAUAUCAAUUCAAAUAGAGGACUUACUUACUUCGCCCAUCGCACGAUAGAAAAAGAUUUUUUUUUUUUUAUAACUCGCACGUUAUUGUUUGUAUGGAGUAACUGAGUCACAUUUAAUCUCAUUACUAGUUAAUUACAAUCCUUCAUUAAUUAAUUUUAAUCCGAUUCAAAUAUUCAAAUUUGUUACAAAAAUACCUUCUAAAAUUACUUUUUAGUUUUCAAUUAACCGUCAGUUUUCGAAAUGUAUCAUUCUAUCAUAAUUCCCUCGUUACGUUAUCCCCAAAAUUAAAGGGACACUACACAAAACCUCCAAUAUUUGAAAUUCGCGAAAACAAGUUGUUUUUAUUCUUUUUUUUCCAUGGACGAUUCUCAUUUAUAUUGAGAAAAAAACUCACUAAAAAAGAAAAAAGACACACCAUGAAAACAAGGUCAUAAUCAUGCCGCCUAAUCGGAUUAUGCCGCCUAAUCGGAUGCUAACAUAUACUUUACAACAGGAAAGGGUUCGAAAAUAGAAGAAUUAGUAGAAAAUUACUUGUGCCCAAUAAUAACGUGAAUCGAGAUACUUGUAACACGGACGUUAUGUGGCAUAUGUGUGUUUUUCGGUUUCGUUAAAACAAAAUGUACGUUUAACUUUUGAUGAUUCCUGAGUAAACUAUAACUCUGAGUACAUUAUGAUGAUUGUCUGUUUUAUUUCAACUUUUUUUAUAUAUUUUUUAUAUGAAAACAUAAAAAGCUAUUUUAUUAUCUUUUAUAUAACAUUUUCUGAAUAAUUUUAUAUGUUUUUGUUUAUUUUAUAAAAAAGUAGCGUGAAAGAGUAGAGUGCAUUGUAUUACAGAGGUGUUAAGAUUUGCUUCAGAUUUAGUAAUCCGUGGAUGUGUUAAAAAAUUUUUUUUAGCUCUAACACAACUUAAAGAUUUUAAUUAUCUUUGAAAAAUAUCGUAUAAUAUUCACGAAACCAUCCUUAUUUGAGUCCUAAAGCUCGAGAUGAUAUAACCGAACUUGAUUAAUUUCAUGUAGAAUAGAGACAAAUCCUGAAAAAAAAAAAAACUCUUAUUCAAUCGUGCGAUGGAGAAAGUAAGUAACUAUUUUUAUUUGAAUCGAUGUAUACACUCCGUUGAUCCGGUUGUUUUCUCGUUUUCUUUUCCGUUUUCCCUUUUUUCUUUUUUUUCUUUUUUUUCUCCCCCAAUUUAUCCCUAUAUAUAAUUUUUUUUCUUCUUCAAUUCAGCCCACUAUCUUUUUGUAAAAAGUCAUAGAGUGUUCUAUGAACUAGAAGCGCUACUAACAGUGUCCUAGACUCGAUACGAAAAAUUUUUAUUAUAACGAAGAAAGGCCGGUCUUAUAGGUGGUUUAAUGUCGGUCUCACAAGUCCAAGUGGUGAAUCCUGAACAAAGUAUUUCUUUUACGUACUUCUGGGAAAGCUGAUAUUCGGUAAGAUUUUAUCUGAUCAAAUUGAAUUUUAGUUUUUACUCUUUACGUUCAGAGUCAGGAAAGAAAAAUUACAGAAAGACUUAUUUCUCUAGAUAAAAAAAAGUCGUAAUGACAUCUGGAUUUCUCGUUAGACAAAUUAGCCUGUGUUGAUAACUUAACUAAGUAUCGUAAAAUUUACCUGUAGUUGGUAUACAUAUAAAUAUGAUUUACUUUCUAAUCUAUCUUUUAUAAACGAGUUCAAUCCGGUCUAGUCUCAGUAGUCUGGUCUAUCUAGGUUAAACGAGUUGGGGUUUUAUAAAUCAACCAGAAGAAUAUCGAUAUAGAUUUAGCAGUUUGAAAUCCAAGCUUAGUUUAAGCGAAAUAACGGCUCAGUCCUAGUUUAGACUUGGGUUAUUAUCCCGUGUUAGUUCUUAAAUUCAUGUCAUGGCGACUUAGCAUGGCUUUUAGAUAGCCAUGCCAUGUUAUACCACGCACAGUCUGUCACGGCUAUACACAGCCGGUGUUUUUUAAGUACACAUGGCUGUGUAUUAUCAUAUUUUAUAAAAAAAAUAAUUGUUAUUUUAUAAAAUUGUUAAAUAAUAUAUAAUAAUAGUUAAAAAAACUUAAAAUAAUUUUUUUAAUAAAUAAUAAGACUUAUUAUAAAACUUGAUACAGUGAUUGUGAUCUUGACUUAAUAUAGCUACAGAAUAAUAGUGAUAUUCCACGUCAUCUAUCCCGGUUUUAGAACCCGGUAGAGAUAAUUAUUACUUUUUAACGUAAAAUUUCUAAACCAGGAGACACGUAAACUUUCGACGGUGCACAGGAGGUAUCAGUUGUGAGUUGUCGUAGAUAGAUCUCCCAGGUGCCAGUUAUCUUAGUAAUUCACGCUGGUGCCGAUACCGUGAGUUAGUUUAGAAAAAGCACUAGAGGAGAGGAAUGGGGCAAAAAUCGGCAGGCUAGUAAGUGGGCAAUCUUACCCUGCCGAGAGGAGAGUUGUCUGGGCCCUUCGCGAGGCAAAGGACGCGGUGUUAAAAAAGCGAUACUGGUUGAUUAUACUGUACUGUGUUCUUUACAUCGAUAUUUUAUAAUUUAACCAUUAUAAUAAUUAUUUAAAAUAAAAAUAUAGUUGUCUAUUUAAAUAAUUUAAAAUAAUUUAAGUUAUUUAUACCACGCGGAUACCAUUGUUACUGAUGAGGUUCAGAGGUUAUGCUGAAAGAAUUAAUUGAGUAUACGUGUAUUUCAACGUCGAAAAAGGCAUUAAACGGGUGUGUUUUUAAUAUUAUAAAUUAAAUAUUUCAACAUUUAAAAACCUCCUAUUUUUAAAUUUCGUUUUGAUCAUAUCUCCUACUUGGUACACUCUCAGGAUAUUUGAAAUCUUUUUUACUAACCGGUUUAUAUUUGUUGUUUAAAAGAAACAGUGCAGUAAAUGCUUGUUUCGAUAAUGUACUCUUAUCAUAAUGAACUAAAUCCGUAAAACGACUAGACGCAUUAAAUCACUAGAAAAAAAUAAAUUUUAAUAAACAAUUUCGACACCUAAAUCUUUUCCGGGCUAUUUUUUCUUAUUCUAAAAGGAAAAAAAUAACUCACGGUAAACCUCUUCAUUCCAUCAAUUUCACGUUCUUUUUCAUAAUGAAUGACUUUUUUUAUUAUUAUUAUUUUAUUUUAGAAAUUUUGCACUGUUAUUUGCUUUAGUGGAACUUCCUCGUUUACUACACCUGGUUUUGCAAAUAAUAUAAUAAUAUAUCUCGUGCACCUACGCAUAGUAAAAAUUAAUUAAUUAAUUAAAGAAGCAUGCAAGGUCUUUGAGUUGCCAGUUUAAGUUGUGUAUGUUGACGUGCAUGUGAGUUGAUCAUGGUUAUAUAUAUAUAUAUAUAUAUAUAUAUAUAUCAGGCCGAUGAUAUGAUAACUAUCAUAGUUCAAGAACCAUGAUAAUUUAAAAGAUGGCAAUCUAGUUGGGAAACUAGUAAAAGUGGCAAUUUAAUAUGAUAAUUUGGUUGGUGGGUGAGUUGGGAUCCCCUGGUGAUAGUUAAAUUGGCCCCUGGUGAUAGUAGGAUUGGCGUGUAGGAAAGUAGGUUGCCUGUUUUUGAGUUAUCAUGGUUCCCGAACCAUGAUAACUAUCAUAUCAUCGUAUAUAUAUAUAUAUAUCUUAAUCCAACCUUAUGAUAAUUAUCAUUUUGCGAGAAAAACGAUAGUUCAAAAAUUGGUAACCUACUUUUUAAUAUCCCAGUCUUACUAUAAUCAGCCAAUCUCAACUCUACCAGGGGAUCCCAAGUCGGCACGGGUGAUCCNNNNNNNNNNNNNNNNNNNNNNNNNNNNNNNNNNNNNNNNNNNNNNNNNNNNNNNNNNNNNNNNNNNNNNNNNNNNNNNNNNNNNNNNNNNNNNNNNNNNNNNNNNNNNNNNNNNNNNNNNNNNNNNNNNNNNNNNNNNNNNNNNNNNNNNNNNNNNNNNNNNNNNNNNNNNNNNNNNNNNNNNNNNNNNNNNNNNNNNNNNNNNNNNNNNNNNNNNNNNNNNNNNNNNNNNNNNNNNNNNNNNNNNNNNNNNNNNNNNNNNNNNNNNNNNNNNNNNNNNNNNNNNNNNNNNNNNNNNNNNNNNNNNNNNNNNNNNNNNNNNNNNNNNNNNNNNNNNNNNNNNNNNNNNNNNNNNNNNNNNNNNNNNNNNNNNNNNNNNNNNNNNNNNNNNNNNNNNNNNNNNNNNNNNNNNNNNNNNNNNNNNNNNNNNNNNNNNNNNNNNNNNNNNNNNNNNNNNNNNNNNNNNNNNNNNNNNNNNNNNNNNNNNNNNNNNNNNNNNNNNNNNNNNNNNNNNNNNNNNNNNNNNNNNNNNNNNNNNNNNNNNNNNNNNNNNNNNNNNNNNNNNNNNNNNNNNNNNNNNNNNNNNNNNNNNNNNNNNNNNNNNNNNNNNNNNNNNNNNNNNNNNNNNNNNNNNNNNNNNNNNNNNNNNNNNNNNNNNNNNNNNNNNNNNNNNNNNNNNNNNNNNNNNNNNNNNNNNNNNNNNNNNNNNNNNNNNNNNNNNNNNNNNNNNNNNNNNNNNNNNNNNNNNNNNNNNNNNNNNNNNNNNNNNNNNNNNNNNNNNNNNNNNNNNNNNNNNNNNNNNNNNNNNNNNNNNNNNNNNNNNNNNNNNNNNNNNNNNNNNNNNNNNNNNNNNNNNNNNNNNNNNNNNNNNNNNNNNNNNNNNNNNNNNNNNNNNNNNNNNNNNNNNNNNNNNNNNNNNNNNNNNNNNNNNNNNNNNNNNNNNNNNNNNNNNNNNNNNNNNNNNNNNNNNNNNNNNNNNNNNNNNNNNNNNNNNNNNNNNNNNNNNNNNNNNNNNNNNNNNNNNNNNNNNNNNNNNNNNNNNNNNNNNNNNNNNNNNNNNNNNNNNNNNNNNNNNNNNNNNNNNNNNNNNNNNNNNNNNNNNNNNNNNNNNNNNNNNNNNNNNNNNNNNNNNNNNNNNNNNNNNNNNNNNNNNNNNNNNNNNNNNNNNNNNNNNNNNNNNNNNNNNNNNNNNNNNNNNNNNNNNNNNNNNNNNNNNNNNNNNNNNNNNNNNNNNNNNNNNNNNNNNNNNNNNNNNNNNNNNNNNNNNNNNNNNNNNNCCAUGUGACCAUCUCACCCUCCUUCUCUUCACCCCUUUCUCAUCAAAAAAAAAAAAAAACUAUCAUCUCUCAAAACCCUAUCCAUAACCCACAUCAAUAAAAGUUUUUAAAAAUAAAUUUGAUAUUUUUUUUGGAAAACUUAUUAAAGAAUAGUAUUAUAUUUUUCAUAAAUUUUAAAUAAUAUAAAUUUAUAUUUGAGAGUAAAAUUAGUAUUAUAGUAUUCUAUAAUUUUUUUAGUUUAUACGAACCAAAUAAUAAAAUGCGAAUAACUCAUUCCAAUUCCCAAUCCAUAAAUAAACCAAACGUCUUGGAGGAGUGGGUCAUUCCAAUUACUAUUCCAAUUCAUUCCCAUUCCAUUAUCCAUUUCAAUUCCACCCUUGAACCAAACAUGCCUUAAGUGAGGUUAAGUCUCUUAAAGACAUCUCACACAUUGCAUAGUAUGAACACCCAGUAAUUCUUUUUUACUUUAAUUUGUAUUUUUAAAAUUUUAAGUUUUGUAGGGGAUUGUUUGUGAAAAAACUCAAAAUUUUAAAGUUUGAAUUUUAUUCAGUUUGACUCUUGAAUUAUUCAUUUAAUAUUUACUGUUAUUAUUAUUUAUUAUUAUUUUAUUUUAUUUUAUUAUUUAUUUAUUUUCUUUCUCAAUGAGAAAGAAAUCAACGAGAUAUUUUUUCCGUUCCGUUUCUUGCGUCUAACGGAAUAUCAUUCCGUUCCGCUUCUUUCUCGUAACGAGAAAGAGCGUGCUCCGUCAACCUCCUUCACGAUCGUGCUCGCAGGAGAAGGAAUUCCGGUCGUAUCUUAGGGUGUUAUUUCCGGUUAAUCCAGCACGUAAGGACGGAAAUACGCUUUAGGACAGUACUUUGUACAUUUUCGGAUAAGAUCAUAUUUUUAUUUGAAUAUUUACGUUUAUAUGUAAGUUUGAUUUUAUUUUUAUUACAAAAUUACUUAGAUUCUAAUCACAGUCAGAUUUCGGGAAUUUGUUCUAACACAGCAGCACCCAUACGUGCCUCGGGAUUUGCAUCUGCCGGACUACGUGCCGUGCUUCUUGUCGCAGAGGGAGAUCGUGCUGCCCUACCUCGUCGCCUCCCUCCUCCUCGUCACUCUCAUCUGGCUCCUCUCCGGUAGCACCCCUCAUCUCUCUCUCUCUCUCUCUCUCUGUGCUGCAGCAGCAGCAGCGGCUCCGAAUUGCAGCUUCUCUGCUGCUUCCGCCACAAAAUUUCAUUUCAGCUGUCCGCCGCAUCAAAAGCUUUGAUUUUUUUUUCUUUUUCCCCCUCUUUCCAAACGCUUCAUUAGAUGCGGCCGCAGCUGAGACCAUUUGCUCCCCUAUUGAUUCCUUGAUGAAUUUUCUUUUCCUUUUUUGAAUUAAUUUUUUGUUAAUGUUCACGACCGAUGUCGAUUUGGUCGAUACGGAAGGUUUUGUUUGAAAUGCUCUUUUGGAUCGAAUCCUUCGUUGCGAUUUGUCGUGCAUGCAACUAAUUCUGAUAAUAGAAAAAAAUUGCUUCCGAAUGCUAAAUCUGUUCUCUUUGAUGCAAUUCCCGCCACCUGUUUGUUGAAAACUGGAAAUGCCCGUGGAAAAAAAGAAGCAGCUACCUUUAUGUGUUCUUUUGGGAUCUAUUAGCUAUAUUGUCGCAGAAUUAACCCUUAAUGGUCUUUAGCUGAUCAUACUGUAACUAAUGCUUAUGAAAGCAAUGAAUGCCUGUUCCCUGGCUGGUAUUCUGAUCCCUCUUGUUGGACUCGAUUGGAUUGAGUUUAGGGCGUUGUUCGACGAUAACAAAGACCGAUCGCUUGCUCAUGUGCUGGUGGGCUUUUACGGGGCUUACUCACAUUAUUCUCGAGGGGUAUUUUGCCUUCACUCCCGAGUUCUACAAGGAGAAAACUCCCCAUUACCUGGCUGAAGUCUGUAAGCUCUUAUCUUAUCAUACUUGCUUAUUCCUGAUUCAAACGUUGAGAUGUCGCAUCGAAUUGCUGGAGUGUUGAGUUCUUUUCAGAAUGUUUGUGAUCGUGACGUAAACAUCGCAUUACAGGGAAGGAGUAUAGCAAAAGUGACUCCAGAUACGUCAGCAGGGAUGCAGCAGUUGUUACUGCUGAAGGAAUAACUGCUGCAAUUGAGGGUCCAGCUUGCCUUCUUGCAGUGUAAGACUCUUGCCCGCUAUUAUUUGCAUUACGCAGAUUUUUUGAUACUGUAGCUNAUCGUAACGUCGUUUCUCCUAUUGUUUUAUCACUUAAGACCGUUGGUUUAGUAGAAUACCAUUCGCGACUUUUCGGGACAUUAUAAUUUUAGAAUAGAGACAGCUAUCGAUUAAAGUCAGUCUCCACUUAGAAGUCUUAAUGAUUAUAUAAAAAAACUGUCUCUAACCUCUUCUUACCCCGUUUUGUUUACAUGAUUGUUUAUUUCUCAUGUUAAGAUCUUUGUAAGUCGAGUCGUCGUUGGAAAUAGAUACAAGUAUAUGAACCACUUCAAGUCUAUUUGCAUGCGGUAACUCAAUAGCCUAGUCAAUCGUAUUCUUUCCCUGAACGUAAUUCAAUAUCCUAGUCAAUGAUCCACUUUUGUUCAUAGAUGUUGUGUAGUUGCCUAAGUUGUCGUAUAUGGUCCAAGAAAUCAAGUUCUACGUAGUUUAAGAGUGUAUGAUGUUGUCGAUCUUGUUUGGCCGUGUUAACUUGUAACUUACUCGUAUAACUCGUAUUUUUUAUAUAAUGAAAGUGAAACAUUAAGUUACUUGUCCUAUGUAACGACGUAUGUGUUUUAAGUACUUCGUUAGAAUACUAUUGAGUAUGAAGUUAACGGUACGUAAUGAUAGUGACAAAUAGUUUUCUACCUUUUAUAGAGUUCUCAAUACGUUUUAACUGGUGCUCUUCUGGUAUUCUCUCUUAUAAACUAGGUUCUUAGAAUAGAUGGUACUUAUAUUUGUUGGUUCCGUUAGUCUUCGUUACUUAUAUUUGUUGUUCUACGUAUGCCUGUUAGUGGGUUUUGUUCAUUAGUUAGUUGCUUGGCCAACAAUUCCCUUCUAUGAAACUUUGAAAGAAUGUCAUGUUUGACCUAGUUUUUCAAAUUCUACUACCAUUUCUAUCCUUUAUGAUUUUUCCUGGAUAUUCAACUCAGAUUAUGAAAUAAACUUCGACAAAUAAUAGGAACAAUAUGUAACUUGUAUUUAUAUAUGUCUGUACGGAUUGUCGGAUGAAUAUGUCUGUUUUAUGUGCGUCUCUUAUGGAAUUUGUACCACGUGUCAAUAUAUAGCAGUUUAACUUAUAACGUAUGUUGAAAUAUUGACAGAUAAAUUACAUGAUAUGCAUGGCUAUCUCUGAAUGUGUUCAUGUAAAGACAGAAAUAUAGUGAUAUAGACAAUUUACCUUGCAUUAUUUAGUGAGUCCACAUACAUAAUUUCUGACCUUCCUCAGAACUACAUACUGUGCCUGCACUUGGGAAGCUGCAAAUUGUCGACAUUCUCUUUAUUGUUUGCCUUCAUUAUUAUCAGAUAUUAAUUUAUUAAAUUAUAUAGCAGAUGUACAUAUUCCAUGCAACACUUAUCUCACUCGACAAAGUACUACGCAUGGCUUUUUCAUUAUCCUAAUUAGGUUUGUUUCAUCCAUGACAGGUUCGCAAUCGCAUCAAGAAAAUCAUACAGCUAUAUUCUCCAGUUUGCCAUCUGUCUCGGACAGCUCUAUGGGUGCUUGGUUUACUUCAUUACUGCAUAUUUAGAUGGUGACAACUUCUCGAUCAGUCCAUUCUACUACUGGGCCUACUACAUUGGAGCAAACAGUCCGUGGGUUGUGAUACCAAAUCUGAUCGCGAUAAGGAGCUGGAAGAAGAUAUGUGCAGCGUUUCAAGCUGAAAAGAAGAUGAAGACUCGAUAAUCUAUCGGAUCCUUUAACAGUUUUUAGGGGAUCAGAAAGUUCAAUAUUCUGUCAGAACUGCCUAUUUAUGAUGUUUGCUGUGUUUGAAGCCGAAAAUUCUGUGUUGCAUUUGCUUUUGUUGCAUUAAAACUAUAUAACUAAUGGAAUUGUUUUCACAUAGACUGGAGGCCCUAUCAUCUUGGUCUUGCUCUUUUCUGAUAAUUUUGGAGCAUCCAAUUAGUUUGGUAGGAAGAAAUUUUGAAAAUUUGCCUCAGUUUGAUGGUCACUUUUGGCGCAGUUGUUAGUGUUUUAGCAAGAUCAUCACUUGCUUGAAUGAAUGAAAAUGAAUGAAGGUUCUUCUCAGCACCCAGGAUUGGAUCAAUUGUCUGGAAUAAGCUGGGAGAGCUGCGUUUGGGAAUUUGGAAUUGUUAGGGGUUACGAGGCACAAUUACUCACCAGCUUGCAGUGUGGUCAGUUUGUUUGUAAACUUUGUUGGGAUCUGUAUUGCAUUAGUCGUUCCACGCAUCGGCGUUUAAUUUUUGUUCCUAACGGGACUGAAACUUGCAGAGUCUUCCUACCUCUGGAAAGUAGUAGUGCCUACUGCAAUUGAUAAAAAAAAGAUAGAAGCAUAGUCGUUCCACACAUUGCAAUUUACUCAUCAGAGAGAGAAAAAAAAAAAAAAGAAAAAAAAAGAACAUUAAUUUACAUNUCACUUAUAUGGAGGGGGCGGCGUUGGCCCGCCUCUCUUUCGUUGUCGGCGUGUCUUAUAUGGAGUUGUACAUUGUGGAUGCGUAAAUGUACAGGAAGAAGAAGAAGGAGAAGAAGAAGGGAACAUAGUGGCAAAGUAUACAAAAUUUUCCUACGCCAUUAUUAUACUUAAAUCCAUUAGCCAACACGCCACCCAAAGCGCAAUCAAUUGCUGCCCCCAAACAAACCCCGCCGAUCCCAUCCGUUCUCCGUUGGGCAUCCGUACGUUCCACGCGGUGUAGGACAGGAGCAGCCCGGAUCCUGCGGCGGAUAGCAAGCAACGGGAGCCGGCACCGACGGCGGAGGAUACAACUCCAGAUCGUGCGCCUGGAAGGGGAAACGGGUCCCAGGCGGGGGAUAGAGCGGCUCCGGAUCCGGAAAGAGGGGAGGAGGAGGAGGAGGAGGAUAAAUCUCCGGCGGCGGCGGGUAAUCCAGAGGAGGGUAGAGGACGACGUUCGUCGUCGGAGGGGAGUAUUGGGGAGCGCAUGCGGAGAUGGGGGCGCCGACGUUGAAGCUGGGAUCGACGUGAUCGGUUAUACCGCCACCGCCGACGCCGAGGGUGGUGAUGCGGAAGGAGAAGGUGAGGACGCCGUUGGGUUUGCCGUCGGGGGCCCGCAGCUCGUAGCUGAGGUGGCGGAGGGCGCCCGCAGGGGAUUCCUCGGCGGUGGCGUUGAGGAGGUGGGCGACGGGGACUUGGGCGGCGGCGAGGACCUUGUCGCCCAGGAGCGGGAUGCUGCGGGCGGCGACGUCGAAGCGGAGGAGCAGCGGCGGCGGACGGGGUGGUCCCACUCGGGGUGAGGAGAAGGAGAGGCGCAUGGGGUGGUCCCACUCGGGGUUCUCGCCGCCGUCCAGAUCCACCGGCGUCCUCUGCUGCUGCUGCUGCUCAUCAUCGUCAUCAUCGGGCGCCAACACCAGGGAGAGGAUUGCGUAGAGAUAGGGCUUCUGGAAGGGGACGAAGGAUUUGACGCCCCUGCACGAGAUCGUCUUCACGUCGAUCCACCACCGCCGCCGCCGAGGAUGAUCCAUCAACUAAUUGACUAACUGUGCGUUAAUCUUUCGGCAGGAGGUAGAGACGAUUCGAGCUAGCAGACGUUUGGUGCUGGUGGUGAUUUUUGUGGAGUUUGCGGCGUUUCCUCUUUGUGGCAACAGAAGCACCCCGAGUGGGAGAUGAGAUGAGGGGAUUCAGAGAAGGACACGCGGCGGCACUUCCUUAGAGAGGAAGGAGGAGUUAUUGAAACUUCCACCACCUGGUGGAUGAUCCGUGCACCGCACGCACCUGUACGCAUCUUUGACUCCAAUCCGUGCCGUCCAAGUCGGUUCCCUUGUACGAUUGCUUUUGCUUGAAGUGUUGUGAUGAGAGCAGAGACUGAGAGAGUAGCCACAAGCUAGCCAGCAGCGAGACAAAUCGAGCAGCAGAAUAGAAUCAGGUGGGGUUGGGACCGAAAAGGGGCAUAAUAUGAAUUCAGCACUCGGCGGCCUCUGAUAUUGCCUCUAUUCGCUCGAUCAUUUGCUGCAGCAUGAACCAUCUUUACUUUCUGCAUUGAAAGGAAACAAAUCCAAAAUCUGUUCGCAUGAAUAUUAAAUUACACACACAAUAUAUAUAUAUAGAGAGAGAGAGAGAGCCAUCUAUUUCAAAUCGACGAUCGAUUAUCGUUGAAUAUUAUCUAUACUAUUUGAAAUAUCUAAAAGCAAAAUUUCAAAAUACUUCAAAUAGUAUAGAUUAGGUUUAAAGAUACUGAUCGUUGAUUUAAAAACUCUAUCAGCAAAAAUAAAUGGGUGACAACGAAGUCCAUUUGGUACUGAUAAUAUUUUAGAAACUCUCUCUCUCUCUCUCUCUCUCUGUCUCUCUCUCUAUAUAUAUAUAUAAAAAUAAUGUACUCUUCAAUAUCAAUUAGUUUUGAAAAUUUACAAUUUUAAAUAAGAAAUUGAAACUGAUUAACUCAUAAGAAAUCAAAGUUGAAAUUUCCUAGUUUUUUAAUAAAGAUACUUUAGGGUGUGUUUGGUUUGAAGUCGGAGUCAGAAUCGGAAUUGGAAUCAAAAUAAGCUGGAAUCGGAAUCAGAAUGACUCAUUACCUAAUUCUGUUUGGUUCAUCACCUGAAUCGGAAUCGGAAUAAAUAAUUCCAUUGUCGGUGUUUGGUUUAGGUGGAUAUAAAAAACGUAAUCAAAUUAAUAUACUAACAUUAUCUUUAUAAUAUAUUAAUUUAAAUUCAANUGAUUAAAUUUUAAUUUUUAAUUUAAGUUUAAAUUAAAAUUUAAAAUUAUAUAUUUAAUUUUUAAAUUUUAACUCAUAUUUUAAUUAAAAAAGUUGAAAAAAUAAAUUUAAUCCGAAUAAAUAUCCAUUCCGUCCGGAUUUGACUUUCAAUCCGGUCUCCUAGGCCGGAUUGAAAAAAGAGGUGAUCAGGGAAUUCCCAUUUCACUUGGGAAUCGAAAUCGAAAUGAGACUCCUGCGUACCAAACACCCACAAACGGAUUUAAGCAUUCCGAUUCCGAUUCCAGGGUGAAAAAGAAGCGAACCAAACACGCCUUAAAUGUUAGAUAAUACCUCUUAAUAAAAAAUAUUCGUUAAUAAGAUCUCCAUUUAAGUUUCUCACGACUUAUACAGAAAAAUGAAGAAGACGAGAGAAGUACUAGGCAUUUGAAAAUAGCAGUAAAAACUACAUCGACCAAAUUUAAACAUCCACAUGGUGCUGACUAAUUUGUUUUUUUUCCCUUUAAUCAGAAUCUAUCCAAACGAUUUGCACCCACAAUAAUAUUACUAGUAUUAAAUAAUAAUACAAAAAAUCAGAUAUGGGGGGAGCAUGGAAGCAUGGACCCCCAGGCCCAAGAGCAGGAGUAGGUGGUGGCAACUGGCAAGUGGCAACGUGAUCUGAGCAUUAAAAAUAAUAAUAAUUAUUAAAUAAAUAAACAAAUAUUAUAAGUUAUAACCAGGAGGCUUGUCAUUGCGUCCUCCUCUGCCUUCGUCUUAUUUUUGUAUUUUAGAUCACAAGCCCGCAUCAAGCCCGUUUCUGUUUCUAUCCUGUCGAGGGCGGAGGCGUUGACUCGGAAAACGCACAGAGUACUCGUGAGCGAGAGUAGAAGAGUAAUGGGGGUGGCGGCGGCGGAGCAGCAGCACCCGUACGUGCCUCGGGAUUUGCAUCUGCCGGACUACGUGCCGUGCUUCUUGUCGCAGAGGGAUAUUCUGCUGCCCUAUCUCGCCGCCUCCCUCCUCCUCGUCGCUCUCAUCUGGCUCCUCUCCGGUAGCACCCUUCAUCUCUCUCUCUCUCUCUCUCUCUCUCUCUCUCUCUCUCUCUCUCUCUCUGUGCAGCAGCAGCAGCAGCAGCGGAUCCGAAUUGCGGCUUCUUCUCUGCUGCUUCCGCCACAAAAUUUCAUUUCAGCUUUCCGUCGCAUCAAAAGCUUUGAUUUUUUUUUUUUUCCCCUCUUUUUCCAAACGCUUCAUUAGAUGCGGCCGCAGCUGAGACCAUUUGCUCCCCUAUUGAUUCCUUGAUGAAUUUUCUCUUCCUUUUUUGAAUUAAUUUUUUGUUAAUGUUCCCGACCGAUGUCGAUUUGGUCGAUACGGAAGGUUUUGUUUGAAAUGCUCUUUUGGAUCGAACCCUUCGUUGCGAUUUGUCGUGUAUGCAACUAAUUCUGAUAAUAGAAAAAAUUGCUUCCGAAUGCUAAAUCUGUUCUCUUUGAUGCAAUCCCCGCAGCCUGUUUGUUGAAAUGCCUGUGGAAAAAAAAAGAGAGGCUACCUUUAUGUGUUCUUUUGGGAUCUAUUAGCUAUUAGCUAUAUUGUCGCAGAACUAACCCUUAAUGGUCUUUAGCUGAUCAUACUGUAAGUAGUGCUUAUGAAAGCAAUAAAUGCCUGUUCGCUGGCUGGUUUUCUGAUCCCUCUUAUUGGACUCGAUUGGAUUGAGUUUAGGGCGUUGUUCGAAGAUAACAAAGACCGAUCGCUUGCUCAUGUGCUGGUGGGCUUUUACGGGGCUUACUCACAUUAUUCUCGAGGGGUAUUUUGCCUUCACUCCCGAGUUCUACAAGGAGAAAACUCCCCAUUACUUGGCUGAAGUCUGUAAGCUCCUAUCAUACUUGCUUAUUCCUGAUUCAAACAUCGAGAUUUCGCAUCGAAUUGCUGGAGUGUUGAGUUCUUAUCAGAAUGUUUGUGAUCGUGACGUAAACAUCGCAUUACAGGGAAGGAGUAUAGCAAAGGUGACUCCAGAUACGUCGGCAGGGAUGCAGCAGUUGUUACUGUUGAAGGAAUAACUGCUGCAAUUGAGGGUCCGGCUUGCCUUCUUGCAGUGUGAGACUCUUGCCCGCUAUUAUUUGCAUUACGCAGAUUUUUUUAUACUGUAGCUUUUAUAGCAUGUUAAGUGCCUGUUGGAAGUAUGUUAAAAAUGCAUUGGAAGAAUGAAAAGGGGGGUGGGUGGCAGAGAUGGUUGAUAAGAGUUUUUGGAUCAAAUAUUUUCUCUUAUGGUCCUCUUGUGAUCAAUUUUGCAUAACUCUUGAGAUAUUUUCCAUCUUUUGAUAAACAGUGAUAGUAAUGCAUGGCAAUUGAAGUAUGAGUUAUCAUAAGAUUGCUUCAUGAAUUUUGUGGAUGCAGCAAUGUAUCCUGUUCAUUGAAUUACAAAGUGAAAGUAAUAUAUUUUUUAUGCUCAAUAUGCUCAUUCAAUGUUCAAUUGUGCCUGUUUGUUGUAGUAUGUGAGAAUUCGAUGCAUCUUGAACUAAAGAACCUGGUAUAUGCUGUUGAAUCUGUCGAUGUGUUGUAGAAACUUGUUUUCACCUAGUAACUGAUCCUAUAACUUAAUGCAAGUUCCUUUCUUAUGCUAACUGAUCCGAUAACUCUAUGGCUUACCUUUAUCUGAACUUCGCCAAAUAUAUGAACAUAGAUAAAGGUUGUUGCUGAGCUGAAUGUUUCUAGAAUUGUACUCUUUAUUUGUUAGUACAUUUAUUUUGCCCCAUUCUUCUCCAAUCUCUAUCAAAAAAAUAUAUUAGUAAUUCUGAAGAUUCAUCUCUGACUGAAAUUAGCUAUCGACAGAGAUAAGAUUUUAAUAUUACAGGGCUUUUCAGUGCUUACCGUAAGAUGAUUUGGUUGCCAGAAUUCACUAUUUUGUUAUCCUCUUUGCUGCAAUGCUACGUAUGCCUGUUAGUGGGUUUUGUUCAUUAGUUAGUUGCUUGGCCAACAAUUCCCUUCUAUGAAACUUUGAAAGAAUGUCAUGUUUGACCUAGUUUUUCAAAUUCUACUACCAUUUCUAUCCUUUAUGAUUUUUCCUGGAUAUUCAAUUCAGAUUAUGAAAUAAACUUCGUCAAAUAAUAGAAACAAUAUGUAACCUGUAUUUAUAUAUGUCUGUACGGAUUGUCGGAUGAAUAUGUGUGUUUUGUGUGCGUCUCUUAUGGAAUUUGUACAGCGUGUCAAUUAUAUAGCAGUUUAACGUGCAUUGAAAUAUUGACAGAUAAAUUACAUGAUAUGCAUGGCUAUCUCUGAAUGUGCUCAUGUAAAGACAGAAAUAUAGUGAUAUAGACAAUUUAUCUUGCAUUAUUUUGUGAGUCCACAUACAUAAUGUCUGACCUUCCUCAGAACUACAUACCGUGCCUGCAUUUGCGAAGCUGCAAAUUGUCGACAUUCUCUUUAUUGUUUGCCUUCAUUAUUAUCAGAUAUUAAUUUAUUAAAUUAUAUAGCAGAUAUACAUAUUCCAUGCAACACUUAUCUCACUCGACAAAGUACUACGCAUGGCUUUUUCAUUAUCCUAAUUAGGUUUGUUUCAUCCAUGACAGGUUCGCAAUCGCAUCAAGAAAAUCAUACAGCUAUAUUCUCCAGUUUGCCAUCUGUCUCGGACAGCUGUACGGGUGCUUGGUAUACUUCAUUACUGCAUAUUUAGAAGGCGACAACUUCUCGACCAGUCCAUUCUACUACUGGGCCUACUACAUUGGAGCAAACAGUUCGUGGGUUGUGAUACCAACUCUGAUCGCGAUAAGGAGCUGGAAGAAGAUAUGUGCAGCAUUUCAAGCCGAAAAGAAGAUGAAGACUCGAUAAGCUGUUGGAUCCUUUAACAGUGUUUAGGGGAUCAUAAAUUUCAAUACUCUGUCAGGACUGCCUAUUUAUGAUGUUAGCUGUGUGUGAAGCUGAAAAUUCUGUGUUGCAUUUGCUUUUGUUGCAUUAAUACUAUAUAACUAAUGGAAUUGUUUUCACAUAGACUUUGAAUUGGAGGCCUCUUGCUCUUUUCUGAUAAUUUUGGAGCAUCCAAUUAGUUUGGUUGGAAGAAAUUUAGAAAAUUUGCCUCAGUUUGAUGGUCACUAAUGGCGCAGAUGUUAGUGUUUUAGCAAGAUCAUCACUUGCUUGAAUGAAUGAAAAUGAAUGAAGGUUCUUCUCUGCACCCAGGAUUGAAUUAAUUGUCUGGUAUAAGCCGAGAGAGCUGUGUUUGGGAAUUUGGAAUUGUAAGGGGUUACGAGGCACAAUUACUCACCAGCUUGCUGUGUGGUCAGUUUGUUUGUGAACUUUGUUGGGAUCUGUAUUGCAUUAGUCGUUCCACGCAUCGGCGUUUAAUUUUUGUUCCUAACGGGACUGAAACUUGCAGAGGGCCCAGCGUAAAAAGAAAAAAAAAAGAAAAAAAAAAGAAAAAAGAAAACAAAAACAAAAAACAAAAAACGGAUCGUGGUCGGCAGGAUUCGAACCUGCGCGGGCGAGCCCAUAUGAUUUCUAGUCAUACCCGAUAACCACUCCGGCACGACCACUUGGAUACCAUUUGUAUUCAAAUGGAAUGUUGAGUAAAAGACUACCACUCUGCUCUAAAUUGUUGAAACAAAGAUAAACCGCUCUCUUCAGCGAAUCGAUCACGAAAGUCUCGACGCCUUCCUUUACAUAGUCAUUAAUUUUUUAAAAACAAAAAAUAAUUUUAUAUCGAUUUAUGCAAAGUUUUAAAAUUAUAGAUUUUUUUCAACAAAGAAACUAUUUAUGGAAGUAUCUUUCUAGAGCUUCAAAGCAUACAAAUUUAUCCCUACAGGCUAGUUAUUAUGAGUUGACCCUUAAAUUUUAAUUGUUUAACUGUUAUGUUCUUAUAAAUAAAAUAGCUUUUUGCAAAUUUUCGAACUCAAUACUUAAAAAAUCUGUGGCCCAUAUAGAAUGAUAUAAAUGUUAGAACAAAAACAUCAAACCUAGUCAAACCAGCAGAAAAAAUAAAACAACAACCAAAAUGUGAUCCGUUUGGUUGUUAAAGUUAGUUCGCAACCACAAAAGCCCUUAAGCCGUUUGCCACUUACUUUAGGCACGGCACGUUCGAUUUUGGUUGUUAAAGUUAAAGAGCAAACAAAAUCAUUUAGGUGUUUUGUUGAGAGUGGGAUUUGAACCCACGCCCUUUCGGACCAGAACCUUAAUCUGGCGCCUUAGACCAACUCGGCCAUCUCAACUUGGGUGUCCUUGGAGAUAAUUAAUUAUAUAUAUAAAUAAAUAAUUGUAUAUAUAAAUAAAUAUUAACUUUUCCAACGCUUUACACCACCUCUCUUUCAGGUCCUCUCCUCUCGCGCCCGUUCCAUUCCGUUGUCAAUGGCGACCCUGCGAAGAGCUCUGCUUCGACUCCCCCGAACCCUAACCCUAAAUCCCGCGAGAGCUCCACAAUCUCUUCCCAGGUAACAUCCCCAUUCCCUUGCCUCCGAUCCCUCGCCCCGCGAUCUCCUCCGCCUCCAAUCGAAUCCUUUUUCCUUUUCAUUUUCUAUUUCAAUUACCCUUUUUUUCCUCCUUAAUUUCGCUCAGAAUUCAUCUUGGAUCGAUCUCCCGCUUCUCCUCCAAUGGCGGAUCGCUUGACGUCGACCUCUCUAACGAAGAGAGCAAGCGCCGACUUUUUAACAGGUCUAAUGUUCUAUCCACGGUGAUUAGAUCCGGUUGCGCUUGAGCUCGUUGAAACCCUAAAGCUUGCGCUUUUUUACGUGUAGAUUGCUCUAUAGGAGCAGGCAACGGGGGUUUCUUGAGCUAGAUUUGGUUCUGGGGAAUUACGUGGAGGAGAAUAUCCAUUCGAUGGACGAGCUCCGAAUCAGAGCCCUUGUUGAUGUUCUUGACCUGGUAAUUUAAAUACAAGAUUGGCUUUCACCUGCCCUUCCUUUGUUGUUACUAAGUUUUUGCGUUCUCAACGAAAAUUUUGAUGAUUGCAUCUGAUGAUUUGUAGUAUGGUCGUAUAUGAGGCAUAGAUGAAGUUUGUUCCGUGGCAUUUGCUAGGGGUUGCCUACUUUACUUUAUAGUGAUGUCUAGCUUUGCCUUGCAUUUAAGGGACUGGCGCGAUAGGUUUUUUAGGCUUAGCAGCAGUUACGUUUUGCUGCUUUUAGGUUUUGAAUAGAAAUUUGUCUAGUGUUGGUUUCCUUACUUGUAUUGUGUUGUUCAUAUUCUUUUGCAUGUGUUUGCGUUUCUAUGUAAAAUUUUUUGUGCCUGCAACUUGUGGUCACAUUUAAACUACUGGUGCACAAAAGUCAUCUCUGGUGGUCGAUGUAACCUUCUUAUUUUACUACAUAGGGAGGAUGAAUUGAUGUACCGGUUAAUCCUUGAUAUUGCCACAUUGUUACUUUCAUUAUAGUCUUACUAGACAGGAUUAGCGUAAAUCUCGUACUAUUUCUCUCUUCUUGUCUUCUUACAUUUUCUGUAUCUCUUGUAAACUUUUUUUGGUGCGUUAUUUCAUUAUUUCUUGAACUUAUUAUUUGCUCUAAUUGCUUUAUCUCUUCAUGACAUUGGGUCUUGGGAAAGACUUACGCAUCUAUGGGGUAGAAAAAAUUCUUGUUCCUCUGGUUUUGUGGCUGAUGAACUUGCAAACUGCAUAAGGAAUGCAAAGCUCACUGAUUCACAUUUCUUUAUUGAUAGGCUUCUACUGGUCAUUUGCUGGCCACUAUUUUGAUGAUAGAUAGUGCUGUAAAUUAUUUACUAAACCUUGCCAGUACUCUGGAUGUUACAUAUAUCGAAAAAAAAAGAAGAAGAUUGAUUCAAUUAGUAAAUUUCAUCUUACUAGAUUGAUUAAACAGAGAAAUCUACUUUCGAAAUUUGCUCUCGGAAGAUAGUAGUACAAGGUAAUUCUGAAGGCAAAGGGAUCACAUAGAGAAAGAGGAGUUAGUUGAAGAAGAAGUGAAUGGAGGAAAAAUCAAAAGACACUAACCUCGCAUGAAAAUGAAGUUCUGAAAUAUCUAGACUUUUUGUUAAUCCAUCUAGUAAAAGAAUAAGAUUCUUAGUUAGGAGUCAAAAGCAGAUUAUUGUUUUUUUUAUCUUAACAAGAUUCCAAAUAAAUAAAAUCUAAGCUCAUAAGCUAAAAGUGCUGUAAACAAAUUCAUAGGCUUCCUAGAUGCUUUUUCUAUCUUCAAUUUAAUAAUAACCCCUAAAGUUUAUGAAAACAGUAUCAAAUAAAUUAGGACAAUUUAAUUUUUCAACAGCCAAUUUUGUUCUGUGGAUCUUAUUCUUUAGAAACAAGACUUCUUGAUAUUCAUUGAAGCCGGAAAUAUCUGUCAAAUCUUCAUAUUUUGGUGGUAGAUCUGAACAUGAGACCUGGACAGCUGCUUCGAGAGUUUCAGCUCAAUUGCUCUCAAUUAUGGUUUUUAGCCUGAUAUGAUUGGUGAACUCUUUUGAAGGAUUUUGAUGAUGCAAAGAAUGGAUAGGCAUAUGGCUCAGCUUACAUCUAUAUUUGGAACAGGUUUCAUGUAGAAUAAUCGAAAAGAUCAUUUUGAUGAUCUUCUGAUGCAUUAGGAGGUACAAUAAGGUUGUCCAAUAGGUGCUUCUUUACUGGUGAUCUGAUGAAAUUAACUAGAUGGAGUGAGUUCUCCUUUUCCAUUUUAUGGGAACAAAAAGGCAAAUUUUUUUAUGUUUUCAUUUGUCUAACCACGAGUCCGUGACUUUCACAUCAAUAAUACCUUCUUGUGUAAUUGACAACAUCACAUAAGUUCAACUUAACUGUUUUUAGUUUAAUUUACUCAGAUGUCUUUAUAGUUGAUCAAUAUCUGAUUGAUUCCCCAGGAAAAUCCAGAUUUGUGGAAGUGGCUCACAGGGCAAGAGGAACCGCCAGAGCCAGUAACCUGUAAUCCUGUAUGUCAUAUGAAAACUAGCAAAUGCUACUUUUCUCUUAAAAUCUGAUAUAGUUUUCAAGUUAUUAACUUUUCUUUUAAUGUCGAUAGAUAUUUACUGCUAUUCGAUCAAAGAUUAUGGAAAACCUCAACAAGCAUGCAGCUCCAGAGACUCGUUCAUCUCCUGGUCAACCAUGGGUAAGAGGAUGGGACGAUAAGAGUCGGCCUUACGGGGGUCCAAAGUAUGGAAACCAAUGAUCCUAUUUCCCAUUCCAAAGAUCGAGCCUGUUGCAAAAAAGGUUUCUUGUAUAAUGUUUAUAGAAAGAGUAAGAGCUAUUGUGUUCAGAUUAACCUUGUGACUUGCCUGUGUUCCUGGUGAAUAAACUGUCGUAUAACAUGCUUGCAACUAAUAGAUUAGAGAUUUUUUGAGUGUGAUUUUUUUCCUUGAACUGUUAUUGUUAAACUUUUGGAUCAGCCGUGUAGAAUAAUUUCUCCAUCUCUGGUUGCAUGCUUCAUGUCCGUCAACUAUUUCUUGAAUUUGUCCAUUUGAAGACAUCAGUUGCUGCUCAAAGGGAAAGGUAUGUGCAAUUGUUGUGUCUGAAACCUUUUCUUUUGCAUGUUUCUUUUGGUAGUAAUCUCGACUUUUAUUGAUAAGUAGAUCAUACUGAUCAUAUUGAUUUAACCUUAAUAUUUGAAACAAUAGUUCAUGUCCUAAGAAGCUUAUUUUUCUGCAGCUCUGUAUCCAGCUGAUGAUAUUCAAAUUUGUGCCACAUGGUUUUUCAUGAAUAUUUAAGUAUCCUGUAGUAAAGAAGAUGGAGAAUCUCAAUGAAUCUGGUAAUGUUCACUAUCUCAUUUGUUUUGAAAGCCAGUUUAACAUGAAUUGUUCUUUGUUGUCAUGAUGGAUGAACUUCUCGUGAAACUUUGGCAUCAUUAGUGGAGUUUUUUUUUUUUUUAAAACAUGCGGCAUGAUCCUUAGAAAAAACGUACCUAGCUUGAAGAUAUCACUAAUCUCUGUAAUAAAGUUGGCUAUUAAUUAUGCUUUGUUCUAGCUGUGUAUCUGCACUUCUGAUUAUCUCCUUGGAAAUGUGUGAUAUUACUGGUUUAGCUAGGAGGGGAUUAUUUAAGGAAACGGAAUAGUACCGAGCUGAGCUAAACCAACCUUGGCCCAUUUAUAAUCAAGUCAAGUUAGUUUAGUUCCAAGUCUCACAACAUUUCAAGUCAAGGUCUUGGUACUUGUACACAAUUUGAUUCAAUAAUUAUUUGAAGAAUGAACUUGGAAGGGUUUUUAUCUAUAAGAUCUUUUACGAUAUCUACAUAGCUAGAUUUUAAUAUUGCAUCCUAUCUAAUUUAUCUGGCAUGAGCUUUAUUACUGAAACUAUUUCCUCUGACCUGCGAUAUAUUUCUUAAAGCCAUUACAUAUUUUUAAUAUAGAUCAUCAUUACUAGAAGUGUGUAUGUUCUAUUUAUCACUUACAAUUCUAGAUUUUGAGAUUAAAUCAAUCAAACAUGAACCAGAUGUAGUUAGCUUAUGCUUGACUAGUUUAUUAAACGAGUCAAUAAAUCCUGCUGCGGUGGGUGUUUAUUAAAUGAGUCAAUAUAACCCUGCUACGGUGGGUGUUUACACAUGAAAAUGGAAGCUGCUUCUGGAAUUGGUACUUAAAGUUAAGAUGCUAGGUCAGGCUUGAAUGAACUCAGGCUCGAGUGAACUAUGUGGAAUCUAAUACAACUCUAUAUCUAAAUCCUUUUUUUUUUUUCCCUUUUUGUACAAGCUGUUACUAGUUUGUUGGAUCCAACCUUGAUAGCAGGUCCGAUUGGGAUAAGAUAUGUGGUUUUUUUGGGUCUAUUUACAGCCUCGGCUCCAAUUUAGUAAGUUGUCUACUUUUCUUCGUAGAACCGAUUACAUAGGUAGAGAGCGCAAGGAAACCUCUUUUAAUUUAGUGGUUAGUGGCAGUUAAAAAAAAAAGGUGCCCAAAAAAAUGCCUUCUUUCCUUAUCUGAAUCAUCGGUGAAUGGUUGUUACUCUAUAUUAGUUGAAUCUUUGAAGCCUUAGGCAUCCGAUCAUUGAUCACAUUCCAGACUUUCAAAAGAGGCAUUCAUUUUAAAUGCUUUCCCUCGCUUCCUCUGUCUUUCUCUCUUUAAAAUGUCCCAAGAGAGAUUUAUACUCCAUUCAUGUGUACUUCUCAUGAUGCCAUAUUUUAACACCCACCCAUUCUUUUGUAUGGUAAUCACACUUAGUCUGUGUCCUAACAAAGUGACACUCGUGAAAAAAAAAAAAAAUUCACACUCAAAGGUGAGCCAGUAUAAAUUAUACAAUAUUUCAAAUUAAGAAAAAUAUCGGACUCUUAUAAUUUUUAAUCUUUUUGCAAACUAAAAUAACAUUAUGGUAGAUGAUAGCUUUUAUGCUUAUUAUUAUAUUAUCCUUCUGUUAGAAUCAAAUUGUGAGUCCCUUGAUUUGGUUGACAUGGACCUUUCAAACUUUCGAUAUUGUUGAUUGAUCUAGAAAGACAGUAUUGGAUCUAAUACUAAAGAGUCAAAGGGGAAAGAAAAAGAGAAUGAAUAUUUGGAAGAUAACUGAUAAAGACCGCUGGUCAAAGAGAGUUGGAAAGACCUAGUAAUUUAGACCAUGUAGCUCUCAAUGUGAAUAAAUUACCUAUUUAGAAUUUAUAGGAUAGAUCUUUCAAAGGAAUUUAUAAGAUUAUGUUUGUCUGACAUGGAAUAGGAGAGAUCAUGACCCAUGUGACUUUCUUUACAAUUGAUCUAUUGAUGUUAGUUCCAUUCAUCUUCCAACUAGUAAACAAUUUCUGAGUCAGUUGUGAAAGCUCCCUUUUGUUGCGUAGCUCACCACCUUCAAGACUUGACAGAGAAGCAGACAGAAAAAAGGAGGGAGCGAAUAUUAGACUUCAUGAGUUAAUUGAUACUUUUCACAAGGUAAGGUAAGGAAGUUGUCUGGUGGGAGUUCUUAUGCAUUAGUAAGAAGAAAGCAAUCUAAGUAGGAAUGCUGAUUUUCUUGCUUUUGGGAAAGUUAAAAAAUGUUAACAAAUUGAAAGGUUGAUCAUAUGAUAAUAGUUAAAGUAGUAUAAAUGACAUAAAGCUUGACAAAUGUCAAGUUUCAGAUGCAAAGACUGAUUUUGUAGAAAUUAGAAAAUCAUGGGCCCCGUGAUUAUAGUAAAUAAUUGUGUCAUGCCCAACCAUUAGCAGAGAAAAUCAAUAUGAUAAAAUAGCACCUCGUGGGAAUGUGUCAGUCUCUGAUUGGUUCCUUUCUAAUAUGAAGGUUGCAACAGUCAAAAAGGGUACACAUGACUGACAAAUAGCGUGUUAAUAAUGGGGAAAACUAGCUAGUUAGCUAGAUUCUUUCAAUCCAUGUAUGAUUCUUUUUUGGGCUGACAAAUAACAUGUUAAUAAUGGGGGAAAUUAGCUAGUUUGCUAGAUUCUUUCAAUCCAUUGUGUUCUUCAUUUUUGGCUGGUAGGUUAGUAAACUACAUUGACUAGAUGGGGAAGAUGAAGGUCCAACCUGAAAACAACAAUAAAGAUAGAUUACCCGUGCACAUUAAUCUAAUCAUGUAUAUACUCUAUAUAGGAAACUUCCUCGAGGUUGAUGAGUUGGAUUGAAUAAGAACCAUGCCUCUCACAUCUCCCAGCUGGUCCACUCUGUUCAAUCACAUUGGUCCCAAAACUUUUACUAACUUUAUAUAAUGCUCUGAUGCUUUAUUUGCAGCCAUGUUUUUAUUGGUGGGGAGCCUCUCACUACCCUUUUCUAAACUCCAUUUCCUCAACUUCCAUUGGUCCAAAGCAUCUUUUCUUUGAUGCAUCCCACCAACGAAAAGAUCAGGGAGAGAGCAAUUAAGCAGGGACCUCUUUCAUAUAAAGCACCUUUUUUCUCACUAUGAAAUGACCCAAUGAAGGAUAUCAAGUUGACAGGGUGGUCCCAAUUGGUUUGUGAUGCAAUAUUAUUGUAGUGGAUGUGUGGGUUACUGUAUGUUAUUGGAGGCAUGGGAAAGGAAUCUUUUCUUGUUUUCUGAGGAUUCGCGUGUGUAUGUAUGUGAGAGAGAGAGAGAGAGAGAGAGAGAGAGAGAGAGAAAUGAGAGAGAAAGGGGAUGCCCUACACAGUACACACGCAUGCACAUGCACACAGACAUUCAGCUUGAAUCUUGGUGUUUAGUAUCUCACAUCUCAUGUCAUGACACGUGAUUGAGUGGUGUUUCACUGCAUUGGCCCGGGAAAUAAGGCUUUGGUUUCAGUUAAAUAUUAUGUAUAUAUAUUUCCCACGCUUUUGAUUCCUUUCCAUUCACCUUAUGCACCACCUUUUGUCUUCCCAUGUCCUAACAUUUUCUUUUUCUAUUUUCCUAAUUUGCUUGCUUAGUCGCUGCCACUACCAAUACGUCCUUUUAAAUUUUAGUACAGCAGUACAAUAAUUGGAUUGGCACAGAGAGAAAUUUUAGUACUAUUAAUAUUGGUGAAAGGAAGCGUAUAAUUUUUGGUCUUUAUGUCCAUAUUUACUCUGGAUAAAUAUGCUUAGUUGGUCGGUUGCAUUUUUUUUUUAUGUGGGUUGGUCCCAACGAGCAGUAAUUUGAGAUAAGUUCUUAGAAGCACUUCCCUUUGUUUUUUUUUUUUUUCCCCUCUUUUUUCCACUUCAAGUUUUCAGUUGUAUAUAGAACAAAUUUGGUUAGAAGAAUAGUAGUUCACAGCGAUAUAUCAUUACAAACUCUAGGUUCAAUUCUUUGAAGUUAGGAGAUGGUUAUGUUUAAAAGUAGGUGUAUCUAUUAUUUACAUUUCUUGAACAUUGUAGCCAUCUUAUAGUAUUUAAUCAAGAUAAGUUUUCUUACUGAAAACUGCUGCAUGUACACUCUUUAUAAGGUGCAUAUCUUAUGUACUCUUCAUCCAAGGAUAUCCGAAAUCCUUGGACAAGGAUCCCUUUUGAUUUGACAUCCUUUUCCUCUUUUCCAUUGACAUCAAAAUGAUGCCCCACAAACGUGCAUGCACACACACACACACACACAAAUGCAUAGUGGCCAGUGGGAGGGGAUGCUAUUGCCUGCAGCCCUGCACUGGAAGCAUCCAUACAUGUGUGCACUGCUUGCCCGCUAUUCCCCCAUCACUUUUAAUACUUCCAAUUUAACAAUCCACUCCUUGGGUGCACAAAAAGGUUAUGAUAGAAACUAAAGUUCGAGAUGUGACGGAGGGUUGAUGCCUUGAUGGGUAGACGGUGCACGGAUAUACGAAUGCACCGAGUUCAGGCAAUGCUCUCUCCAUGGGGUGAAGGGAGUUGGGAUGUGGGUUUGGCAUGGAGGGACCCAAUUACAUGGCCUUGCAUGAAGCGAAAUGCCUUUUUAUUCUCUUUCUCAAAGCCCUUUUGCACUUGGAUAUCAGAGCCCUUUGUUGUUGCGUUUGUGGAUGAGGAAGGAGAAAACUUUUUAAUAAUCCUUGCUGCAGGGCAUGUGAAGCAUCAAAACAAAGAAACUCAUUGGCAUGGUCUCUCUCAUGGUAGUAUCUUACCCACUGCAAUAAACAAAGUCUACAUUACCUUUUGUACCAGGCCUUAGCUUUUUAUUCACAUUAACAACAGUUGUGUAAAGAGAGAUGCUUUUGAGUUCCUCUAAAAUAUUGUAUUUAUUGAUUGUUAAUAUAUUAGCAAAUAUAUAUGGUAUGUUUUUAUUGUGUGAACAAAUAAAAUAUUCCACAUCAUGUAUAUCAACAUAUCAACAACUCAUAACAGCAUUACUCUAUAAAAGAGACUUGUAGCAUGCUGUGUCCUAUCAUAAAUUUAGCAGUAUGGGAAUCCCAUAGGUCCAAUGAUAAGCAAAUCUCUUCCAUUUGAUAUUAUCAUACAUAUGAUUAGUAUAACAUCACUGCUUAGCUAAGACUAUUCUUAGAACCAAGCAGUGCAAUGAAUUUUUGUGAUGAGCAGUACUCAGGUUUAAUCUGUAGAUGCAUGUUUUAGGAGAGAGGAGCUACAGGAAGAAGUUGAAUGAGAGGUAGAAGGUAGAGGAAGAAAUGUAAGUAGGAAGGGCAGUGAUAGAUAGGAAGGGCAGUGAGAGAGAAAGAACCUAAGAACAACUCUCUACUAAUUAGUUAGGUCAUAAUUAGUUAGGUCAGGUCAUCGGUGGUUUCUACUAAACAACACUAAUUAAGAAGUUCUUUUUUCCCUCUCUCUCUCUCUCUCUCUCUCUCUCUCUCUCUCUCUCGGGGGUGUGAGCUACAAAAAAGAAACUAUUUGAGCAUUUUAACCAGUAAAUAAGGGAAGCUUAUGUCCCAUUUAUUUAUUAGCUAGCCCCCUAUAUAUCUAUUUGUUUGCAUUGCUUAUAUUCUCCUACUAUGACCAAGUACCAACACUAUCAGUGGUGUACGUUGUCACAUCUAGCCUUUGCGAUGAUAUCUCCAUAGGCCUAACAUCUAUCUAACAAAUUCCCUUCCAAUCUCACACAUCACCACCGUUUGUCACUUUGUAAUUAUAAACUAAUCAUCUGCCCUUUCUACGUGCAUCAUCUCUCCCCGCCCGUUAGCUCUAAGGUGCUGCUAUGUGGAUCUUAAGUUCUGUAUCCAACCACCAUGUAUUGCUUCUGAGUUUCUAAAAUCUAUCAAACUUACACGCGGCCAAUUUAGAGGAGCCCCUAAGUAUUACUUUUGUCUAUUUCACAUUCAUAAUAAUUAUCUCCUUAUGCAAACAACAAUUAAAACAAGGGCGAAAAUAACAACAACAAAAAUGCAAUAGCGGUAGUAAUUAGCAAAAUUACUCAUAAAAUUACUUUUUUUAUUGAAUUGAUAAUAUUUUUAUCUGUACCUGAGAUAAUCCAUCUCAAUAAUGGAUUCAACAAUAAUUGAUGCUCAAGUAUGCUACGUACUGGAGGUGAAGAGGCAGCACAUGAUCAUAGGGCCGUGAGCUCGUGGCGACAACAGUUGGACUAGAGCACCUGUCAUACCGCCGCUAUUAGAAAAAAGAAUAGUUUUUCAAAUUGGAAGUUGUGAAGCGCUAAAAUGUUUAUUCAGCGAGAGCGUCCAGUUUAAAUUUUAAAAUAGCAUAUUCUCAAAUCCCUCCUCCUCCAAUUAUUAUUAUUAUUUUUUUCUCUUUUCCUCCCUCUGCUUCUCAGCUGCUGCUGCUGCUGCUGCUACAGUACUCUGCUUCUUCUUCUUCUCCGCAGCCACCUUUUCACUCUCCCGGAAUCCCCGUUACCGUGCUCUGUUCUCAGCGCCGGCGGGAUCGUCGCCGGAACCCUAAUCUUCGCCGGCGAAGCCCAACCGGACACUUCGCUGGCAAACAUGGACCUCUAGCUAUCUCCGCCGCCGCCGCCGCCGCCGCCCCCCUCCUCUCCAUCACCAAUGGCGCCUGCGCCCGUCAUCCUCCUCCUCCUCCUCCUCACUCUCUCCGUCUCCCUCUCCUCACUCCACCCUGCGGCGUCGUCGGAUCCUUCAUCAGCGGAUGAGCUCGCCGCCCUGCUCGCCCUGAAGGGCUCCGUAACCCUCGACCCCUCCUCCCUCCUCUCCGGCUGGGACCCCUCCGCCGCCGCCCCCCGCCGCCACUGCCGGUGGCGCGGCGUCACCUGCUCCGCCGCCUCCGGCCGCGUCGCCUCCCUCAACCUCACCGGCGGCUCCCUCGCCGGAACCCUUCCCGCCGCCGUGUUCAGCCUCUCCGAGCUCCGCGCCCUCGCCCUCGCCGGAAACGCCUUCUCUGGUGAGAUCCCGUCGCCGCCCAUCGGCAGCCUCCGCCAUCUUGAGCUCCUCGACCUCGGAAGCAACAACUUCUCUGGGAAGAUCCCCGUCGAGAUAAGCUUCCUCCCUUCUCUCCGCGUUCUAGAUCUUUCCUACAACUCCCUCUCCGGCCUGAUACCGGAAAACUUGAUCGGGUCCUCGAGGAUCGAAUCGCUGGACCUGUCGUUCAACCGGCUCACCGGAGGGAUCAAGAUUGUUCCCUCUGGUUCCUGCCGAUUUCUUUCCCAUUUGAAGCUCUCCGGUAAUCUUCUCAUUGACAGCAUCCCAUCGGAGAUCGGGAAAUGCUCCAAUCUCCGGGACCUGCUGCUGGACCGCAACAUUCUAGAAGGUCACAUACCAGCCCAACUCGGAUGGCUAUCGCGCCUCCGCGUCCUUGAUGUCUCGCGAAAUAGCCUUACCGAUAGGAUACCAAAGGAGCUCGGGAAUUGCCGUGAGCUCUCUGUUCUUGUUCUCACUGAUUUGAUGGAUAUCGACUCUAUGACUAGUAGGUCAUCAAUGGUUUCCAGUAGUAGUGGGGAGGAGUUUAAUGCGUUUGUCGGGGCGAUUCCGCCGGAGGUGGUUUCGAUUUCGAGCCUUGAGAUCCUUUGGGCUCCGAGAGCAAAUCUUGAUGGGAAACUUCCGAGUUACCGAAAUAGUUCGUGUAGCUUGAGGAUUCUUAAUCUGGGGCAGAACUACAUUAGUGGUAUGAUUCCCGAAUGGCUCGGAAUGUGCCAAAAUCUCACCUUUCUCGAUUUGAGCUCGAACUAUCUGCAAGGUCCGGUGCCAUUCUCUGUUCGAUUUGGAUGCAUGGUUUAUUUCAAUGUCAGUCGGAACUCAUUGUCUGGCUCUGCUAUGAAAUCAACAGAGAGUGGUUGUUCAAACAGUCUGUUCUCAGAUGGGGAGAAUAUUGGGUUUUCGGUUCGGGAAGGUGUUUUGAUGCAAUACUAUGAAAGUUUCCUUCAAAGUGCCUCGAAGGGUAACCCUUUUGGAUCAAUCCUGGGUGAAGAUCUUGUUGUUCUGCAUGAUUUCAGCUGGAAUGGCUUUAGCGGGUCUUUGCCAUCUUUCUCCCUCGCUCUUCAUAGUAACUUUUCUUAUGGUUUGUUGCUCAACAACAAUGCGUUUGAUGGGUCGCUUUCAAGUGCCUUUUUUGGAUUUUGUGAUGGUGGGAGUGGAUUAGCAGUUAAUUUGAGUGUUAAUCGGAUAUCCGGCAUUAUUGAGCCAUUAACGGGCUGUUUGUUCCUUCGGAGUUUUGAAGCAGCUAAUAAUCAAUUUAGUGGCCCAAUUUCAUCCAACAUUAAAGGCUUGCAUUUGCUCAAACACCUUGAUUUGAGGUGGAACAAUUUAUCCGGAGAAAUUCCAGUUCAAAUUGGUAAUUUAGCUUCUCUUACUUUUUUAGAUUUGUCGAGAAAUUCUCUGAUAGGAAGCAUCCCAUCAAGCUUAUCAGAUGCUCCAAAUCUUCAAAUUCUUUUGCUUGAUCACAACAGGCUCUCAGGAAAUAUCCCUCGGAAUUUCAGUUCACUCACCCAACUUAUGACACUGGAUGUUUCCUUUAACAACCUCUCAGGAACUAUUCCUUAUCUUAGACACUCAAAUGACUGCAAAUUCUUCGAGGGUAAUCGUUUUCUGCAGCCGUGCGUGAGUUUAAACGCCUCCUCACAAUCCGAAAACCCUAUUCAGGAUGAUGCUAAAAAAUGGAAUAGCCGAAAGACCAGGUUGAAGUCCUUCAUAAUGGCAGCAGUUGCUUCUGUCUGUAUCAUACUCUCUAUUCUCCUAGUAUUGUUUCUUGUCCUCAUCUAUGGAAAAAGGAAGCACGUAAAGAUUGCAAGUGCAAGGAGAAAAAUGGUCGUGACCUUCAUGGAUGCUGCUCCAGAAUUAACUUAUGACAACGUAGUACAAGCAACAGGCAAUUUCAGUAUUCAGAAUUUAAUAGGAACCGGAGGAUUUGGGGCCACCUACAAGGCAGAGCUUGUUCCUGGUUUUUCGGUCGCAGUGAAGAGGCUUUCUAUAGGUAAGUUCCAAGGCCUUCGGCAAUUCGAUGCUGAGAUACGGACGCUAGGUAGGAUUAGACACAAGAAUCUCGUAACCCUCAUUGGGUACCAUAGAGGGGAAUCUGACACGUUCUUGAUCUAUAAUUAUCUAUCUGGUGGAAAUCUCGAGGCAUUCAUACGCAACAUGGCAAAUAGAAAAAUGAGCUGGGUAGAGAUUCAUAAGAUAGCACUUGAUGUGGCCCAAGCAUUGGCGUACCUCCACUACUCUUGCAUCCCCCGAAUCGUCCACAGGGACAUCAAGCCGAGCAACAUCCUGCUUGACGAAAAGCUCAACGCUUAUCUAUCAGAUUUUGGCUUAGCGAGGCUUCUAGAAGCUUCCGAGACUCAUGCUACUACUGAUGUUGCUGGGACAUUUGGGUACGUUGCGCCCGAGUACGCAACCACGUGUAGAGUUUCUGAUAAAUCCGAUGUUUAUAGUUUUGGAGUUGUGCUCAUGGAGUUGAUGUCUGGGAAGAGGUCAUUGGAUCCGUCGUUCUCGCAGUAUGGUAAUGGGUUUACGGUUGUGGCAUGGGGAAGGAUGUUAGCGCAAGAGGAACGGGCAGGUGAGUUUUUUGAUAGUGGAUUGUGGGAGGCUGGGCCAAAGGAGAAUUUGGUUGAGAUGUUGAGGCUUGGGCUGUCCUGCACUGUGGAGUCCCUAACUGUUCGGCCCUCAAUGAAGCAUGUUGUGGCAGCAUUGAAGCAAUUGAAAAAUUAGCUUGUAAUGUCCAGGAAGAGAAGUAAAAGGUUAUCAAGAUGAGCUCUGGCAGAGAUCUACCUUGUUCAGGUGAGAGUGUAAUUCAAUUAAUGCCAUGCAUUCUUUGUAACUAAAAUCUUACUAUUUUGAAAAGAAAAUGAUUAUCAUCUCUAUAGAAGUGUUCGCCUUGAGGAUAUGCCCAUCUUGUAGAACAUGCAUUAGUGGUGUUUACAGUAGUAGAAGAAUUUUGGGUUGCUGAUCAAAUGCUAAGAUACCUUCAGAAAACAAUUAUACCACACUAGAGUUGGACUCGACUCGAUUUCAGUUCCACCCUGGUGUAACUAUCUCAAAAUGUCUGGCAAAUCUCUCUGAAACCUUGGGGAAUCUCCCAGACAUAAAAUAGUGUAUGCAAAAUUAGCUAUAAUGUUAUACAUAUACCAUAGUAGAUAGUUUCUCUUGCUUAUACCAGUUGGCGAUACCACUGUAGCAGUCUCUCUUGCUUAUGCCUGUUUGUGAUACUUAAAUGCACUUGAGAAUAAGUAAUGGAAUUCUGAAUGGUUGAUAUAUGUGCUUCCAUAUGAUUUAAUGUACUAACCCAACAUUCAUUAUCUAUAUUUUUUCAAUUAUCUUUGUGUUGAACGAAUUCUGAUGAACCAGCUGAUCUUACAGGUGCCAUUGGAACAAAACACGAAAACUCAGCAACUAAGUCUUUUUGGUUCCAGUUAGCCACAAGGUAAAUCUUAUCAACUUGCUCCAUCAUUUCUUUAAUUGAUUAUUUCAUCUAACGUUGGGCUUUAGUAUUUUAAAGGAGCUAGAAUUUGUGGUAACAAGUCACUUUUUUUGCAGUAGCAAAUAGCUCGGCCUAGUCUAUUCUCUCUUGGAGGUCAUUUCGUCUUCUUCUCAAGAUCCUUCUUUAGUCUAACAUAAAAAUCUGCAACAAGUUUUGGUGCUAAAUAGGAUGAUCCCAGGAUAUCAGCUAACCAGGUUCUUUUCUCAACUCUAGUUAGAAUGGCAGAAUCAUGACUAGACUGGAAGUUUCUUUCUAUUUUUCCUCCUUAGAGCUUGUAACUACAAAUGAUCAGUUGUGAUUAAUUAGAUUAAACAUUUACAAUACCUUCUCUGUUUCAUGCUUUGUUGAAUUUCUUACCAUUAGCAGUUAGAUGUCUCUUCGGUCAUUUAUGGUAAACAUGUAGAUGCAUUUCAUUGUUAGUUACUAUUUCCUUUGCCUGGCAAUAAGAAAAUACAUAAUGAGAUAGCUCUUUAAGUAGCAACACUUUGAGAAGGCUGCUAAUAUAACAUAUUUGGAAUGAGCUUAUUACAGCAGUUGCCUCACCGACCUCGGCCUGUUCUUUGAUAGGCUCAAUCUCGUAGGCUUUCGAUCUUCCAUACCCACCAUCAGUCCUAACUCUCCUACUCUGUUAAUAACAUACUGAAAACUUUUCAGUUUAGCAGUAUAAAUUUGAUUUACUCUAAGACUUAAUGUCGUACAAGGUAGUGUCAAAUUCAUGAUUAUCAAAAGAAACCGGUGAGAAUCCGGCAAAUAUCCAAUAUCACUCCCACUUUAUAACAACUCUUUGAGUUAUUUCUGAAAAAAAAGAAUAUGACUGAAUCACUGUAAUCAACUUUGAUUACACAAUUUUUAUACUGAAGGACUUGAAAAUAGAAGGGCUUGUUUGGUUAAAAUUAGUUGUAAAAUUUAUAACUGAAAUAUUCUCUUGGAAUUUUGAGAUAUUUCUGCCAUAAUGACAUGUAGAAGGUCAUUCAACAAAAGGAUAAGGUCCAUGAAACUAUUUCCAAGAGGCAAAAGCUAUCUUAAAAGAUACCAUGACCAAGGUUAAUAUAGAAGAUUAUCUUCCUUGUCAUGACAGUAAUAAGGUACAUUCAAAAGAUACCACACUGAAAUUGAAAAACAAGUAACAUUCCGCACAUAAAUUUAUAACAUUCAUAAAACUAACAUCUCAGGAACAAAGUUCUCAAUCCUAGAGCAGCUCUGCAGCUCCAGGUACAUCUAAGCUGCAACUAAUUUUUAACACACAAAAAGGAAAAUUAUGGGACUAAAUAGAGUGCAACAUUUAACUAAAUUGCCUUUUUUUUUUUUCUAGUUUCCUAAUCAUUAUAAAUGAUCCAACACCAGCUAACUAGGUCCCAAUUUACCAAAUAAAAUAAAUGACGACUCAUAAAUAUCAAUGUAUAAUGCUGGAUCAACUGCAGAUAAAUCUACCACUCUACUUGUUCUCAAAUGAACUAAAAGUCGUGCUUCCAUUUGGUACCUCCACCUCAACCACCUUCUGAACCCUGUAUUUGUAUCUCUUUGCGAAAUAUAGGAAAACACAAAAGUUGAUCGUACUUAGUAUGGCCAACAACCAAUACAAGUAAUCAAACCUCCCAGUAUUUAUGUUUUGGGAAAGCCAUGAUGGGCGCCCUUCGUCCUCAUUUCCAGUGAUGGAAUUGAUAAUAUUGUUUAAUAUAGUAGCAACAAAACAGCCCAAACCACCGGCCACUGCAGCAUAAGCAGAACCGACACUUCGCAUGGCAUCAGGAGCCUCCUGAUAAAGAAAUUCUAAAAGACCCACAAUGGCAAACACUUCGGCUAUUCCGAUCAAGCAAUACUGAAUCAACAACCAAUAGGCACUCAAAUUAGGCAUAUGAGUGAGAAAGAGAGCCUCAUAACCAUUUUUGAUAGCAUAAUUCCUUCUAUACCUCUCGAAAGCCCCAGCCCAUGCUACUGAUAAAAUAGAAACCGCAAGCCCAAGGCCCACUCUCUGAAGCUGAGAUGCGCCUUGAGGGUGGCCCGUGAUGCGGCGGGACAAGGGGGCGAAUGUUGAAUAGUAUAGGGCUAAAAUAAAAAAGAUUGCGAGACCAGGGAAGACAGGCAUGCAUGUAACUGGGAGUUUGAGGUGGCCCAUGUGGGUGUUCAUAGUGUAUGCUUGCUGCACUGAGAGAGUCAGAUACUCAGUCAAUAUUACACUCAGCAUUAUUGUGCAAGCCGGUAUUGGGAGAAGUUUUAGUAAUAUUUUAACCUCUUCGACUUGCGUUACUGUGCAAAGCCUCCAUGGGCUGGGAUCAGUGCCAUCCUCUUUCAGCUGAAGAGCAGCCUUAUCCAAACACCUACAGAACCAAAUAUCCUGAAUCAUCAUCAAGUUCAUAUUGAUGAUGACCUUCUUAUCAUCAAAAAAACCAAACAGAGUUAUAUAUGUGCCUGCAGAGUCAUAUAUUUACAUUUAUACCGCUGAAAAAUCUAAAUUUUCAUACAUAUGCCCCUUGAAAAUGUGCUUCCUUACAAAGAAUACAUUAUCUCAGGUUGGGUAAUUAUCAAAGUCCAUGAGUUUAUGGAGAAAGUUUGGUUUUGUAUUCUGGCUGGUAUACUCUGUGCUAUUGUUAGUACAACUACCUUCGUACUCGUAAGUCAUUAUUAAUGAUAGAGCUUUCGAAUCGAUGAUCCAUACUGUGAAACAUAAUUAAGAGUACUUAGUUUCGAAAUUAAGCUUCCAAAUCGACAAUCCAUAUCGCUUGAUGGACUUUAUUAUAAUUUUAAAAAAUAACGAAAUUAGUAUUUAGGUAUUCCAAAUGCUUUACAUUAUGUUUAACGAUCAGGUCGUCGAUUCGAAAGCUUUAUCAUGAAAAAUGACUUAUGAGUACGAAAACUAAGUCAUUUUCAAUAUUGGAGCUUCUAAAUCGACGAUCCAUACCGUUAAACAUAAUUUGGAGCAUUUAAAUAUUUUUGAAAGCGAAUUUCAUAAUCUUUUAACAUCAUAAAAAUUGAUAUUUUUAACAACCGGUAUGGAGCAUUUCCGAGUUAAUGGUGUAGAAUUGAGAUCGGUUGAAUUUUUAAUCAAAAAAAUCUAUUCAUUGUGUAGAUCAAGAUCAAUAACUUUGAUAUUGAAUUUAAAAAUUCUAUCCCCUAUUUUUAGGAGAUUGUGUACCCACUUGAUCAACUUAAUUAUAAAAUUAAAAAAUAACGAAUCGUCUUAGAAACACGAAGGUCUCUACACUUAUUAAGUGCAUAGUAAUCCUACUCUAUACACGCACACAAACAUUGUGGGGCUUCUGUGCUUUUAAAAGCACAUGAAUAGUGCUUGCUUCCUAGUUUUUAACCAUUGGUUGCCUAGGGUUUAGUGGGGAUAGGUGGAUAAUAGUAGAUCUAAGGACUAAAAAGUUGAAAGCACGCACUAUUUAUGUACUUUCGAAAGCACACAAGCCGGACUAUAUAAAAAUUAAGCUUUCUAUAUGAAAAUUCAGAUUUUGCUUUGGUGCAUUCGUCAAUGUCACUAGAUUAUUUUGCCGGUUUGUGUAUACAAAAUAUAAAAAACUGUUUAAACGUCUAUCUUGAGUUCCCAACAUAGUCGUGCACUUAAAAAGUUAAAACUGGGCAGAAUAAGGCGUUCAUGAACUCACAUAGUAAAACAUAAGAGAAUCGAUUAAUUCAUAAAGCAUGCGGUACCUGAAAUCAUCUGUGUGGUCUAUCUUCCCACUACCCUUGAUGGCCGAUCUAUUACCAGGGACUUCAUAAAGUCCAACGAAGUCGCUGCUAGAGAAAGGUACAUUUCUCUUUCUAAAAGCGGCUACUAGAACCUGAGCUACUCUUGUGAGAGGGCUUCCACCUGGUAGCCUAUGCCUGUACAAUGGAGUGCCUAUAAAGAAAACGGCAUUUGAGAUACCCAUUGCUACGGCCAGAGAGCCAAAUGCCGAACCCCAUCCAUGCUUCAUCUGAAUGUACACAACCAUUGUGAAGGCCGCGAUCGCUCCGAUUGUAACAGAGAGGUAGAAAAAAUUGAAGAAUCGAUCUAAGUGAGCCUUGUAGUCUCUACUCUUCUCGUCAAACUGGUCGGCUCCAAAUGAUGAGACGCACGGCCUUAUCCCUGCCGCUCCAAAAGCUGUGAUGUAAAGAACUACAUAUAGAUAUAGCAUCUGCCACGGCUUUGCAGGCUCACACGCGCCCACGAGUAUAGAUAACUGAUCACAGUCAGAUUGGUUUGGUAUGAAGACUCUCAUAGUGGCGCAUAAUGUUAGUCCUGUCAAACCCUGGAUAAUGGGACAUAUGGGGUUGUUUGUGUUUAGUCAACCACAUGAGAUUUUGAAAUGAUAGAAAGCUGAGAGUUAUGAAACCUUUCACGGCAUUAAAAUGGAGUAGGGCUUUUAUCCAAAGAAGGUUCAGUCACUACCGUUAACUGUAUAGCUAACACGUAUAUUUACACAUCAAAUAUAGUUUUGUGUUACCUUAUGACAUCUAUAACAUUGUGAGUCAAAAGGGAUAUACAAAGGUAAAACACUAUCCCGCCAUGCAAUGAAAAGGUAAAGAGAUGCAUGUAAAUUAAUGAAAUUUAACAUUAUUCAGCGCACGAUAUGGAGUGAAAAUAGCUGCUUAUUAGUACAGCACGUAUUCCCCAGUUAGUGAUUCCUAGAUAUUCUCAGUUUCAAGAGUCAACGGUUGUGUUUCAGCUGUAUGAAAGAUGAUAAAACUGAAAUAAGGAAAUCGUCAAUUACUAGUCCGUGGAUUUACCAGAAGAUAAAUAGUGGUGAAUAUAGCGAUAGUCCAAUAUCUACCAAGAUAAGCAUCAGCCAGAAAACCGCCGAGGACAGAUGAGGCCUGUGAUAUCCCCAGGAAGUUGUUCACUGCAUUAGCCGAGCUCGCGAACGGUCGGUGCAUCAUGUAGAACAUGAAUGUAACCAUAUUAACCGACAGCCCAAAGUACGCCAUCCUCUCUGCCAUCUCAUUACCUAUCGACCGUCAUAUUCGACUUAAGAAUCAAUCAAACGAUAAAAAAGUGUUCGACAGACUACUUCAAAAUCAGCUUAGUCAAGGGGAAAGGAAGGCAUGGCAGAUCCAGAAGCUUAUACAAAUGAUUAGAAUGAGCUCACAUAAAGAGGAGUUGAUUAGGAUAUUAGUAUUAGUAUCGCAGAUUAAAUACCAAAACCUAGAAGGGGUACACCUUUUGAGUACUUGGAGCAUGAAAUAGGAUAGACAAAACAAUUCAUCACUAAGAAAGAAUUACUGAACCACCCUAGGAUGAAACUAUAACUUAGAUGCAAGCGUAGAUAAUUAGCUAUAUUAGCAUGUGCAGUUUUCUAAAGUAGCUGAGAACAUGCUUUUUGUUUAGACCAGUUUUAGUCUUGAUGUUUACUAGAAUUGCGGAAACUAACUGCGAAUUUUUUGUCAUGCAGAGACUGAAACAGGGGUUCACAAACCAAAGAUGAAGAAAGCGGCGACCCAGCCGCCGGUCUUGGAGAGAUCUUCGAUGGGCCUGCCCCUGAUGUUCACGGGCGUCGUCCCGCCGGCCAUGUAGUACUCCCCGCCGAUCGCCUUGGGGAACCGCCGCUCAUCGCUCUCCGCAAAGUGGAUCCCCAGCUUCUUCCUCUGAAUAUAAUCCAAAACCGACCUCUCCGGAGUGCUCUCCUCCGGCGACCGGAUCUCCUUCGACUCCAUCUAUCAAACGUUCACCUGAUUUUGGCCCAAUCUUCUUCUCCGAGAGCAAAUACCCCUUCAAGCUCAAAAAAGCUCCAAUUUUCCGAAAAAGACCAAAGGAACAGUAAGAAGCCAAAGCAGCAGCAUUCCCUUGAAUCCAAGUAAAGGGCAAAAUGCCAAAGACGAGACCUUUCCCAGGAAAUGUAGUAAUGGGGAGGAGGGAAGAGGGAGUGAGUCGUAGUAGGAGUAGCAGCAGUAGUAGUAGUAGUAGUAGUAAUGCAUGAUGGGGAUGUGAUGGGGGGGGGUUUGUGGGGGCAAUAAAAGCAUUGCCCACCCAACUGCAUUUUUGGCGUUGCUACGUUCGCACAAUUUUGGGUUUUGGCACAUUUAAUACGUGGGGACAGGUAGGUGAAAUGGAGGAGGAAGAGGGAGAGGGGAGCGUGUAAAUAUAACAAUAAAUAUACAAUAAAUGGGGGGAAUUGAUAGUGAGAUUCGCUUUUUUAUUAUUAUUAUUAUCAUCAUCAUCAUCAUUAUUAUUAUUAUUAUGAAUAUAAAUAUAUAAUAAGAAACAAUAAUCUACUAUCCACUGCUACUCACAAAGUUGGGUAUUUUACUACAAUAAUCUGACACGUGCAUCUCAAUGAUGUGUUGUGACCAAACUAUCCUUUAUUUACACCUUUCUUACUCUCACAAAGUUGGAUAUUUUAGUACUAUUCCAUCCAAUCUUCUUCUUCUUCGUUUUUUUUGUCCUUCCAAAGAGCUGUUAUUGUCCAAACCUGGUCUAUGCAUAAUUCAAAAGAUACAUAUAUUUCUAUUCAUAAUUUUUGUGCCAUCUAACAUAAUAUACAAUGUAGUUUCUUUUUCCCCUUGUACCGUUAAUUUUGUAAGCUACUUAAGAUCUAAAUAAUUUAUUUUCACCAACCAUCUAUAUUUAUUUUCAAUAUAAAAAUAUAUGUACUUACAAAAUUAAAAUUACGUAUAUUAGCAAUUGAACAAAAAAAAAAAAUUAUUAUACAAAACACAAUGCUACGCAGGGAUUACCUAGAUUAUUGUAUAAAAAUAAAUAAAUAAUAACGAGAUGGUAAAAUUACCGCCCACAUUACCUGCCUUUGAGUUUGGUCACUUCCGGUGAGCUUACCGCGCAGACAACAUCCUCUCAUUUGCCGCUAAUUUACGGCCGAGGGUGAUGUCCCUAUGUAUAGAGAAACUACCAUUGUAUCUAUCCUAUUUUUGUAUCCUCGUGAUGUAUAUGUACUACUUGGACCGUGAACUACCGUUGUGAUACUUCUCUUUUGUCGAGAUUUUGGGAUUGUACACUCUUUGUCCUUUUGUUGAUAUAUAUCGACUUGUACAUUGCUCUGAUAUCAGGAUAGGACUUCCUUUGUUUUACUUUCUAUCGAUUUGUUGCUUGUAGACGCCUUAUAUACUGCAGGUGUAUGACGGAUCUGUGCACGUGCCGAAUAUGCUUCCGCUGGUACCCGGGCGUGACAGAUUAUAGUGGUAUCAUCUUUGGCGUAAAAAAAAUUGAGG
RNAcentral lists this long non-coding RNA (67110 nucleotides) under Ananas comosus (pineapple). RNAcentral's name for it is "long non-coding RNA (ACOM_LNC028690)". The record is from RNAcentral. Lineage: Eukaryota; Viridiplantae; Streptophyta; Magnoliopsida; Poales; Bromeliaceae.